GAAAACAAACGGGUAAGGACUAGGGACUUUUAAGUUGGGACUAAAAAAAAGUCCCAUGACUUCUCAAACAAACAGGCCUAUAUCUAACAAACGUGUGGACAAGCACAGUGACGCAAAGAUGAGGUUAACAGUCAUCUGAUUUGGCCUAUGAAAUAACAGCUGAGUAAACAAGUUUGCAUAAUUGCGCGUCAAGUUUUCUGCAGCUCUCGAGGGAGCAACAUCUGACGCUUUCAGACUGACUGGGAUCUCGUUUUACACGGACUGCGAGGAAGGCGUCACGGGAUGCUACCUAAUCUGCUGCCGCAGCUGCAUCAUCAGAGAGAAAACUACUCUACCGCAGACUGUUUGUACGUCUGCUGCUAAGACCAUCUCCAACAGGCGCCUAAAAAACGACUUUAUCGUGCGCUGGUCGUCUGGUUUUGCGCGUCGCGCAGCGCUGGCUCCAACAGCCGCGCUAUAAUGCAUCGCGCACGCCGCUCCAGCAGUGCCCAAAGAUGCAGCUCGCACAAUUUUUUUUAAUAAAUAGAUUGCAUUUAAAUAAAAAAGAUACAAAGUUAUUUUACAUAGAUAGCAACUAGAUAGGUAGUUCGAAAACAUAGAUAGAUAGUUCGGUGCUAGAUAGUUUGAUAAAAAAAAUACUAAUCCUAGUCGCUCCAGUCAUCUGCAUCACCAUUGUCGUCGGUGUCGUCGGAGGUUGACAGCCAAAUGUCAAACCAUCGUUCAUCUUCUUCAGUGAAGAAGGAACUCCCGCCUGCAUUGACGAGGUCGGCAUGCGCACACGCCAAAGCCUUCCGACGACGUCUAUCCAACCGCUCCUCGCGGCGCCGGCGCGUGUCCUCCUCGCGACGCCGGUCCCAGUACUCCUGCUCGUAGGCGACGUCUUCCGGGUGGCGCCGGCGCCACUCCGCCAUGACCCGCUCGUCCUCCUGGGCGACGAGGAGGUGGCGCUGCAUCGCAGUGUGCUCCGCACGGUCUUGUGCGGAGUUAAGGCGAGGCGGCGGGGCGAGGUCUAAUGCCUGCUGGAGCGUGCGGACGUCGGGGAAGUUCAUCUGCAGUCGCGGCCUGCCUAGGCGCCACGCCGCCGCGUCGAACGCGCGGGCGGCCUCGUGCGUCGUGUCGUACGUGCCGAGGCUCAGCCGGAGAUCGCCGGAGCGUAUCUCGGCGUAGAACCCGCCGUUGGGGCUGUCUCUNNNNNNNNNNNNNNNNNNNNNNNNNNNNNNNNNNNNNNNNNNNNNNNNNNNNNNNNNNNNNNNNNNNNNNNNNNNNNNNNNNNNNNNNNNNNNNNNNNNNNNNNNNNNNNNNNNNNNNNNNNNNNNNNNNNNNNNNNNNNNNNNNNNNNNNNNNNNNNNNNNNNNNNNNNNNNNNNNNNNNNNNNNNNNNNNNNNNNNNNNNNNNNNNNNNNNNNNNNNNNNNNNNNNNNNNNNNNNNNNNNNNNNNNNNNNNNNNNNNNNNNNNNNNNNNNNNNNNNNNNNNNNNNNNNNNNNNNNNNNNNNNNNNNNNNNNNNNNNNNNNNNNNNNNNNNNNNNNNNNNNNNNNNNNNNNNNNNNNNNNNNNNNNNNNNNNNNNNNNNNNNNNNNNNNNNNNNNNNNNNNNNNNNNNNNNNNNNNNNNNNNNNNNNNNNNNNNNNNNNNNNNNNNNNNNNNNNNNNNNNNNNNNNNNNNNNNNNNNNNNNNNNNNNNNNNNNNNNNNNNNNNNNNNNNNNNNNNNNNNNNNNNNNNNNNNNNNNNNNNNNNNNNNNNNNNNNNNNNNNNNNNNNNNNNNNNNNNNNNNNNNNNNNNNNNNNNNNNNNNNNNNNNNNNNNNNNNNNNNNNNNNNNNNNNNNNNNNNNNNNNNNNNNNNNNNNNNNNNNAGGAAGAGAGAAGAGAGAACGCGGCACGAGAGGCAGGGCAGCGCGCUGCCUUUUAUGGCACGCGCGGGACGCGGCGCCGCAAAAAUGACGCACGGGCUGCCGCCUUUUCGCGCGCGCUAGCGGUUCCCUCGCGCGCGGUUUUUUCCCGCCGCCGCUGGAGCGCGCAUUUCAGUCCCGCGCGCGGUAAACUGGCGUUUUUUAGCGUGCGCGGCUUUUUGCGCGCCUGUUGGAGAUGCUCUAAGCCAUGCAGGCAGAGAUUAUAAAACAAGCUGUGCACUGCAGCCCUGCAGGACUCGGCCGGCAAGGCGCCAAGCUGGAGUCUUGCUCCCGAGCUGGCCCGCCAUCUCGGGUUUUUGUUCGGACGUCCACGGUCUGGUCCCGGUUGAAGCGUGCAGCCACCCACGCCGGAGAUUCUAGUUUGGAUACAUCGACGUCGUGGACUGGCUUGGCUAUGUGUGUGUGUGCGCGCGNNNNNNNNNNNNNNNNNNNNNNNNNNNNNNNNNNNNNNNNNNNNNNNNNNNNNNNNNNNNNNNNNNNNNNNNNNNNNNNNNNNNNNNNNNUGUUGUCUUAGUUCGAUAUUGUUCUGAUUUUUAGUUUGACGAAGUGAUCGAUAUCCAUAUGGUCACACGAUGGAAUACGGCAAGAGGCCGUGCAUAUGUCCCCUAUUUCCAGCAAGAAUAUACUAGCCUGAAUAGACCGACCAACCAAUCUUCCAGCAAUAACAAGGUACCCAUGAAGUAUGAAUUUGUAUGUGAUAAACUACUAAUACCAGCUAAAAGAACUAAUACAAGCUGAUUAUUAUACCCUAAAAACAUACUACAAGUAAUAGCUGACCUGUUGCAGGAGGAGGCAUUGAAGGAAUCUCCUCCUUGACACACUCCCUUCCACCGCGCGGGCACUGGCCCUAGCCCUUCGUCGCCGAAGCUCCUCGACUCCGGCCAAAUCCCUGUAGUGUCAAACAAUCGCUUCUUGUCAACGCAGUUCAGUUUCACUCCCCGUGUUUGCCAAAGCAGUUCGGUAGUAUUCAGUAGAGCCUUCUCACCGGAGUCCAGCAUGCCUACGAUGACAUUCUCGCCGGCGUGAGCGCCGGACGGCAGCCAGUCCCCGCUGUCCAGGCCUCGGAACCCUUCCUCCAAGCCCACAAACUCCCAAGACCUCGUGGUGUGUGGGGACCACCUCCCGUCGCUCCGAAAGGUAGACACCACCUCAGUCCUCUCUGCAGGAGCAGGAAACUCCACAUGCAUGGCAUGAGCCAGACGAACAAGGACAUAUACCAACAGUGAUAGACAAAUCACAAUACAGUAUUACUCCCUUUUAGAGAUUCCACUAAAAGACUAUACACGGAGCAAAAUAAGUGAAUGUAUAUUCUAAAAUAUGUCUAUGUACAUGCGUAUGUAGUUCAUAGUGUAAUCUCUAAAAUGUCUUAUAUUUAGGAACGGACGGAGUAUUUAUCGUGCAUCCAUUUUUGAGAAAAUCCCUGGUGUCACUGUAGACACUACCUGAAAGCUUUGUGGCUUCAUCAUCGGAGAGAAGAGCCGCGAAGCCAUUCAGGCUGUGCUUGUAGCUGUACAGCAGCGACGCCCGCGCCUCCUCCUCGCUGGUGAACGAGGGAAAAAGAGCGCGUGAAUGGUUAGCUGCGACUUGUACACGAAGCCGGACUCGCUAGUAUCCCAGUAUCCGGCGCUGCCACUGCCACAUGUAUGUACGCAACUACGCAUGCAUGCAUUCAUUAAUGGCUGUGUAUGUAACGAGUAUGUAUGUACCUGCCCUUGACGGAGAGGAGGAGGGCAUGGUGAUCAUCAAGGACAGUUUCCUUCGACUUCUCUCCUGCGUGCUCGCCCAGAUACACUAUAUAGACCUGUCCACAACGGCGAUAUGAAAGUUUAGUAAUCCGUCCCUUCUGCAGAGCACGCAGCUCACACAGAAUUAAGCGUAGGGAGUUAAGCGAAACAGAAGCAUCAUGAACGGCAGGACCGUGCCGGCCAUGAACUAGUCGAACUAAACCCGUGAGAAAUCUGUUGAUUAACAGCGAAAAAUGGAUUGAUUGAGAUGAUGACCUGGCCUUGCUUGGUAGAGGCUGAGGCAGUGAGGAAGGGGGGGGGGAAGAAGAGAAGUCCGGACAUGGCCGGUCGUCCGCUGCCUCCUCCUGUCGCCUCCAUCGGAACGCCGUAUCUCCCUCCGUGUUUCCACGGCUUGGAGGCUGUUUAUAUAUGCACUAUACAGAGUUACAGACAGAGGUUCUGUGGCGAGGCGAUGGAUCGGGCAAAAGGGACACGGUGGAAUAGUUUGAUUGUCUCUCGCCCUCUAAGACGAUACCAUCUUUUGCUUCUUGUAUUAUAUUGUUUGUAAUUUUUUGCUUUCUUCCCAGUAUUCCUUUUUUUCCCUUUUGGAGGAAGAAUCUUCCCUAGCCUCAACUUGAAGCUGUGAUGACUUAUUUAACUUGGAUAGUUUGGUCUGGAUUGGAUACAUAUACUCUGCAUUCUUGGCAUUUUCAGCAAGAACAAAAAGAGCUAGUCUGACACUGCAAUCGCACCCACUACUGUCUUAUCUGUAUUUUUACUUUGUUAGAGAAAAGUCACUUGUGUUCUUCACCGCAUUCAGGAAAACACACACUUAUUAUGGUAUUACUAAUAAUAUGUGCACCCCGCGUGCAGUGUAGUAAGAAUUUUAAGAAAUAAGUGUUUUGAAAUAGCAGAUAAAAGAAAACCAGCUAUAUCGUCCAUAUGAUGGAGAAAUAGUGGAGUUAAAUGGAAAGUGUAGGUACAAAUUAUCUAAACAAUAUGUGUCAAUUUAGUGAGAACACUCGAGGCCAAUGGUAUGUUAAAUGCUUGAGAAGGGCAUCUUCAAAGCGGACUCUCAAUGUAACCGUCCGGACGUGUUUAGCCAUCCAACAUGGAUGACCACACAUAUUUUUUUGGUUAAUCCGAGACAACUUUGUGUGUGUGUGUGGGGGGGGGGGGUGGGGGGGGAGGGCUUUGUUGGAGUCCGGAUAGCAUCCAUGUAGGGCUUCGACACCCUUGGCCAACCCCCAAAACCCCUUCUCGAGCCCGCGCCUCCAUCCCUUCAUCUUUGUCUCUUCAUCACUUUUAUAUCUAGCCUGUGUCGUUGCUCCACCACCCUCACUGCAGCGCCACACCCUUGUCAAAACUUGACGAGUCUCUCACCUCCAACUGUACACCUGGGCUCCAUGCCACUUCUCCUCCGCCUCCGUCCCAAAACUCUCCUUCGACCGCCUCGCAGGUACCAUAUGCUCUUAUGAUACCCACAAUGCCCGGCAAUUGUUCGGUGAAUUACCCAAGCUAAUUUCUUCGUCCCUUCUUCUUUGAAGCAAUGUAUUUGGAUACGGAAUACAUAUACGAGCACUAUGUUGAAACGUCCGAUAAGGAGGACUACACGUAUGAGACGGUGAUGAUGCAGGCAGUCCUUGUAGAUGUGGAGCAUGCGGAGGAGGAUAUUCUCAAUUUUCAAGGGAUCGGUCAACGGUCGUCGAGUGCUCAACUGCAAGAGGGCGCAUGUCCAUUUGACGCCGAUGUACGACUAGUUUUCCCUGGAUGCCUUCUUCGCUCACAAUAUUCACAGGCACUUUCGGAUGCGCAAAAACGUUUUCGGUCUUCUCUACCAUGGCGUCCAGUCCUUUGAUGACUACGUCAUCUUGAAGAAAGACGUCAUGGGAAGGAUUGGGUUCUUUCGUUACCAGAAGUGCACUCACACACUGAAGAUGCUUGCAUGCACGGCUGUUGAAUCGUGGGACUACUACCUAUGAAUGUUUGAGAGUACAUGCGAAGAUGCCAUGGUCAGGUGUGCAACUGUCGUGGUCGAGGUGUUUCAACCUCAAAACCUGAGAGAAGUAACUUGGUAGACACCGGGAGGAUCUUUGAAAUCUCGAAAGAAAGAGGGUGGCCAGGUUUAGUCGAAUCUCUUGACUAUAUGCAUUGGAAAUGGAAGAACGGUCUCAAAGCUUUAGAAGGGCAAUACGAGAGUCAUGUUUAGAAGCCCACCAUCAUUCUUAAAGAAGUUGCAUCACAUGAUCUUUGGAUUUGGCACGCUUUCUUUGGCGCUACAAUGUGCUGCAGCGACCACCAUUGUUUGCUAAGAUGACUGAAGGAAAAGCUCCUCCUUGCCACUAUACUGUUAAUCGACAUGAUUACAACAUGGGCUACUAUCUGGUUGACGAUAUCUAUCCUAUGUGUGUCAACACCAUCUCUAACCCAGUUGGACAGAAAAAAUAUCACUUUGUCGAAAGACAUGAAGCGACUAGAAAGGAUGUUGAGAGGGUAUUUGGAGUUCAGCAAGCACGUUUUGCACUUGUUGGUGGACCUGCUAAAAAAGGGAUCUGGAGAUCUUGUGGGAGGUGAUGACCUGUUGUGUGAUCAUGCACAACAUGAUUGUGAAGGAUGAGCUGAGGAUGCUGCCACAACUCUUGAAUUUGAGAACAUGGAGGAUCCUAUCAAACUUUCCGACCAGAAUCCGUCUACAUUUGAAGAGCUUGUUCAAAUGCAUCAAUAAAUUCGGCAUCGAGCGACUCAUGAGCAACUAAAGGAAGAUCUAAUUGAGCAUUUGUGGGCGGUCAAGGGCGACAACGAUGUUGGAGUGUGAUAUUUAAACUUUUUUAAAAUUAGAACUAUGUAUGCGUCUAUUUGAACAUGCAUACUUCAAAAAAUGGGGUCAAAUGUAUGCGAGCAUCGUUGGAUGGCUGGCUCCCGCAGGGUCCACCGACUUGUCCAUGUCUGCAAACGAAGACGGGGUGCCCGUUUUGUGGGUCAGCGUUGGAGAUUGUCAUAGCCUUAGAAUUGUUUGUAAUUAGUUGCAUUAACAUCUUGGCAUCAUGAUUACAUUUUUGAAACUUCGAAAUGAGGAUUGAAGAAACCCUAGUAGAUAAUUAAUUCAGUUAGGUUUAAAUUUAAACAUUUUCUGUGAACCCAAAAUGGCCUUAAAAAAUGUCCAUGAUUUUUGGAUAAUGUUGGAAACAACAACCAGAGGUGACGCACAUUUUGCCUAGCCAUCUUGGAUUUUUGAAUUAACUCAUAUUGUAUUUGAGUUGGAGUUUAAAAUUUACCAUUAAAUAUUGGCUGCUCCAAAUAUUUUGAAAUUUGUUGUGUGUAAUGGGGAUAUGUAUCUAGGAUAGGGUCACAAGCCUGACCCAGAUGUCCUACCUAAGGGUAUCUCAUUAUUAACUUGAAGGUCACAAGGAAGAUUCUGAUUGGAUAGCCAUGGCGUCUAAGUCACUUGGUAAGCAAUCACUCAGAGUAUUUUCCCCUUCACUUGACAACCAACUUCCACUCGGAAGAAACCAUUCGACGCAGAAGACCAGAAGCCACUCCAAGGAAGCCAACAUGCGAGUGUUCGGCUGUUCAUCAUGAAUAGCAUUAAUUACGCACGUUAUCAGUAACAUACACAUUUAAACUCUAUUGAUCGAACCCUUAGAUGCUGGGCCUUGAUGAGGGGUAGCGCACUCUAUAUAAGUCACUCAUCCCCUCUGGCACAAGGGUUCGUACUCCCUGUAACACAUAUUCCACACCGCAAGAGCUCAAGAGUAAUGAUACGUAGGGCUUACCUCCACGAGAGGGCCUGAACUCAUACAUCUUGCGUACAAGCUUGCCGUAGCUAGGACUCUGUCAUCUCCUUUCGUACCCUACAUCUCUACUGUGAGGUUCAUUCCCACGACAGUGUGGUUUUAAAAUAUUACCAAUAUUUCCCAGAAAAAUUUACAGAAUUAACCAAAAUAAUUCUGUUUGAAAACCAAAAUCAAUACAAAUUUUCAAGAAUAGAAAACAGAAAACAAAUAAAGAAAAGAGAGGAGAGAACUAACCUCGUGGCCCAAUACUAUGCAGCCCAUCUCGCUCAUAGUGCUAGUCGUCUUCACCGUGUGCUACUAGGCACAGGAGAUACACCACACAACGCGCGCGAGGGACCCACGCCACCUGCCUGCCUGCCUGCCCCGUCAGCACGACGCCGAGUAUAGAACCGCCAUUCCCGUGUGCAUCGAGCCCAUCCCUUCACCUACCUCGGUGUCCUAUCUUCCCUACCUCCAUGGCCGCAGCACCCGAAGCCGCGCCGCCCUGAACCUCGCGGCCAAAGCCACUCCCUCGCUCCCACUCCGUGUCCCCGAGCUUAGCAUCGACGCCCUCGUCCUCUCCGUCGUGUCAAGCAUCGCGGGACGCCUCGAACACCGACCUUGACGUCGUUUUCUUCCACGGGCCAUGGAUCACCGUCGUCGAAUUUGUCGCUGUCCGUGCUUCCCCGAGCUCGAUGACGACACCAUCGUAUGCACCAUGAGCUGCUGACCGUUACCCUCCUAUUCUCCCAGUCUAAUUCUUGUCGUAGCCCCAACAACCACGACCUCGAGCUCCGGUCGCCGCCAUGGCCGGUGAGCCUCGUGCCCCCGAUAUGCUCCGCUUGCAGUAGUGGCACCAGCAUGCUCCUCAUGACCACAGGACAUCGUAAAGCCCUUUGGCUAGCCUCCCCGUACCCUGCAUCCUCUCGCCCACUCGGGAUCGAACUCCGACCGUUGCACAAAUCACCGCCGCUGUUGUUUUAGACCCCCUAGGCUCAAACUCAUCACACCGUUGGACGCACACGAACACUAGCAUCUUGUAGGGCCAAACCGCUGGUCAUUUGGUUGAGGUAGGGCGAUUUCCGAGCACCUCUGUCGUCUCGGGCCUCGCCGGUGGGGUUGACCCCAUUUGACCAGGGUUUCACCACCGUGGGUCAAAGACAUGUGGGGCUAGGCCCGUGACUAAUUGGUAGUUAGGAUUAAAUUAAGAAAGUCACUCAUGAGUGGGUCCCAUUGGUCUGGUUUGACGUGGACCGGCCCAGUUGCAUGCUCAAAUCAUCCUGAGGCAAUGUUGACGUAGUAACGAUUUUCUAGAAUAAAAAUAAAGCAGAAAUGAUUUAUUAUUUUCAAAAAAUGUUUAGAACUUCUAAAAAUAAUAUAAAAUAAUCUACACCUCUCACAUGAAAAUAAUUUAUAUAUGAAAAAUGAUGAGAAAAAUAUGAAGAAUCAGUUUAUGCCAUGAUCUUGCAUGUUUGAAAAAGUUAACAUCAUCAACUAGGACAAAUGAUGAUUUAGGAAAAUUUGUUAAUUAGUUUUGGAUUGGAAUUUGAUAUAUAAUUAAUUCCACUUAAGUUAAUAUAACUACCUAUUGCAUUAGGUGAAUCUAGUACCUUAACGUGACAUAUCAUCCAUCUAGUUGUGCAUCACAUUGAAUGUGUUCCUUUAUCUUUUUUGUUGAUGUUAUUCCUUCUUGAUAGAUGAUGGUUCUCACGUUGAGAUCGAUGUCAUUGAUGAAGACUCAAUGCUAUCUUCAAAAGUGUCAGGCAAGCAACCCCCUUGAGCAUACUUAUAUAAACCCACUCUCUCGCUCGUGCUCUCUUUUACCGCAUUAGGAGAACAACGAUUCAACUGUUACAUGUUCCGGUAGUUGAAUCCAUUCCUCUGUAUUAAUAGUCUUUGUCAUAGUAAAUAGUUGAAACCACUCAGCAUGAGUAGUAACUGCUUGUGACUUGUUGUGCCUACUCAUCCAUGAUUGCUUAAUAUGCCUGCUAUGCUUAGAGUCGUGUCGGGUCUGAUCCAUCUGGGCGAUGAAUCAGAAUGGAUGUGUUCAUAUCCUGUUGUAUGAGAGCCAAGUGUGUGAAUCCAAUUUGGUAAAGGUAGAGAUGAGAGGCCAUGUAGGAGUACGCAGCGGGUUGUCUCAUUGGGGUCGUCCUUAAGAACUGAGUUCUGUGUUUGUGAUCCAAGACAACUACUACCACACGUUGGCCCUGAAAUAUGACCCCGCUCGACUUAUUAAUCGCCUUGAUCUUUGUCCAGGAGUUGAGUUUCUGGUGUUUGUAGGACAAGUUUCGGUGGUCAUGUUUAGCGUUACCCGACGGCGUGGGCUUUAGUAUGGUAGAUGCACAGUGGCACGGUGUACCAAGUGUUACCCGAAUGGUGGGCGAAACCCUGCGCACAUUGUUUGGGGUCAUAGAGGAAACUUUGGCCGGACUUCUUUAUGGGUUCAGUCUCAAAUAGGUGAUAAACCUGGACUACGUUCUCGUGUGGUUAAAGGUCGUUGUAUACAUCCACGCCGGGCUUCCGCUUGAAGGUUGUCGAGAUACAUGACGUGUAUAUGGCGCUAAGUGGUGGAAACAUGUGCGAGGAAGUACACCCUUGCAGGGUUAAUUCAUCUACUCGAAUAGCUGCAUCCGCGGAUAUGGACUACCUGGAAAAGUUAUAUGGUUCAUAGAUAACUUGAAAUGGAUACUCAAAAAUGCACAAGAUAAGUGUGAGUGCUACAGAUGGCCUUCUCGUAGGGAGACGGGAGAGGAUACAUAGUGGUGUAUUGAUGUGGUUAAUAUGUGGACUCGUGUGUGAUGUCUUACUCCAAACAUACUACUUGUAGUCGUAGUACAUGCUAGCAAAGAAUUAAAGCUAGCUUGCUACAAUAAACUCAACACUUCCCUUUGUUGAAAAUGAUGCGUAUGCAAAUAGUUCUGAUGUAAGUCUUGUUGAGCACCUUUGUCGUCACGGUUGCUUAAUUAUGUUUUUGUAGAGGAAACCUUAGUCUCACUAAUGGUUUUCUAUGUGAAGUUCAACAUUAACCGGAUUAGCUUGGAAUCCCAAACAGAGGUUGGCUCCUCUGGUAGGGUCGUUGUAGUUAUUUGGGCUCCUUGAACCACUUUUAGUACUCCCUCCAUCCGGAAUUACUUGUCGCACAAAUGUAUAAAAAUGGAUGUAUCUAGAACUAAAAUACAUCUAGAUGCAUCCAUUCCUAUGACAAGUAUUUCCGGACAAAGGGAGUAGAUAUUUGUACCGAGACAUGUUUUGCUUCCUCUUGUUGCUUGGAUGACUUGAGUGUUGGCUCAUGUGACCCGUGUUUGUAAUAUCACACUAUAUUGGAUCUUAUGAGUCUUUAAUAAAUACUUUGAGUAAUAGAGUUGUGUUGUGAUGCCAUGUUGUAUCUAUACAUAUCAUGCAUAUUGCGUGUAUAUUUUGAAAUGCAUUGUAUGUUUGGGAUUCGACACCUAGUUGUGUGCCUGUGGUAGCCUUCUUUACAGGGAAAUGCAUCUUUGCGCUUCCAUCGAGCCAUGGUAGCUUGCUACUACUCCGGACACAUUGAUUGGCCGGCAAGUAUCCUUCUUUGCUUUUGUGUCUGUCCCUACUGGUAAAUGUCACGUGGUGUAAUGGAUUCCGUGUAUCUUGUUAUGACUCAUCUACACACGUUGUUGACCGACACCUCCAUUCCUGGGUUAUGUAUGUCUGUCCCUGUAUGGUUGUGCCACUUGGUUCUAUAACUAAUCAUGUCGACCCAGGUUCUCUGACAUAUGGUUCCUAACGAUAUAUUCAUAUACGUAAGCCAAAAGGCACAAAUGGUCCCGACCAAGGUAAGGUGGCAGCCGUGGAGCUUACCGUGCAUGAGGCCGCAAAGUCAUAUGAUGUGUUACAUGCUAGAUUCGUAUGGUUUAGGAUCGGGGUCCCGACAGAGAUGCCCUAACAUCAUAUCAAACAUUUUGAUGUUGCAAAAGUUGUUAUAGUUUAAUAUGACAAAAUGACCUCCUGGAUAAAGAUAAUUGACAUUUUGACAUUAUGGAUAGAUAGAUUUUGGUUAUGACUAUGUAUUGUUCCGAAUCAAGAACCGUUUUGAAAUUUUUUUCACUCCUCCUAUCUAUAUCUACUAAUAAAGGGAAUAGAUAUUCUUGGUCUGUCAUAUUAUUUUGCAAAAAAAAUCCCUAAUGUUGUUGAUAAUCAAGCUGUAAUCCACUUUUAAGUUACUUUUUUGCUUUUGCGGAAAUCCCCCUUAAUGUUACUAGUAAUCAACCCGCGGGACAGUUUUAAGUCAUAUUUUCACUUUUGUAGGAAAGCCGUGAUAAUUGGGCUAAUCAACCGAGAGUACAUAUAUAAUGUUUUAGAAAAAUUUCCAUAUCUUUUAAACGCUUACAAAAAAUUUAACAUGUUAUGUAUGAAAUUUGAUUAAAAAAUAUGUAGAAUUUGAAUGUUAUUUUACAUGUUAACCAUUUUAAAACUCUACUUAUGGGGCAAUCUUAAUCAAUGGCGCAUUAUUUGUCUGUCUUUCAUACCUGUGCUGAUCUGGAUUGGUAAAAAACACCUCAACAAAACUAGAAUUCGAGACGAAAGAAAUCAUCUAUGACCACACUUGCACGCCUUGCUAAAACCUCAUAGGAAAAUAGCAGUUUUCUCAUCUUAUGUCGAGAGAGAGGCGCUUAGGAUUGACAACAUUCAAACACGUUAUGAUUGUGUGAGCAUUGAGGCCAAUGACGCCGAGGGUGGGAAGGAGGAUAAAUGACGACAAAAAUGGGAUGCCAUGUGUUGAAAGAAAGGAAGUAUACCUACCGCGGUACAAAUGGGAUGCCAUUGUGUGUAAUUUCUUUGUUCGCUCAAAUAUCAACCUAUGGAUUUCUGCUACAUGGUCAUAGGUUUGUGGUAGGUUUAUAGAGACACCGAUGUUAAAAGAAUCAAGAUGGAACUACCGGGAGGUGAAUAGUUUAAUUACAAACUUUACCUCGUUUCUUACCAAUUUAGGCAUUGCAUCAUAUCAAAUGUUAGCCCAAAUAUGCUAGAAUGAGAUAAACAAUCUAUAUGAUGUUUGCAAAGUCAAUGGACCAUUGUAAAACACAGGUAAACAUGUGUAACGUCCAAGAUGCGGUCCUUUCCGAUCUGGGGAUCGAGGCCCCGAAUUGGAAAGGAGCGCAUCUAAGCGUCUCGCAAACAGGUAACACAUCACAUACAUAUUAAUAAAGAUAGACAAUCAGGGGUUCAAUUGCCUUCUCAUAAAUAUAUCAGAGUACAUCACGCAUACAACCAAAGUAGUUCCGCUACGGUCUACAAAACAUAGAAAGGCUAUGCUACCCUGCCUGCAGGCCGACGAUCACAACCACGCCACAAUCUUCUGGAUAGUUCACAUACAGGCGGUCUGUCUCCUUAUCGUACUGCCACGCCAGCUGCGUGCCGUCGGGAUCAUCUGUCUCUAGAGUACCUGAACCUGUUGGUAUUGUGGAGGAAUCCGUGAGCCACGGGGACUCAACAAUCUAAGACCUUGGUGCCAGAACUAGUCAAGUUAUUAGGUAGGAUAAGGUGAAGUUGUUUAAGGUUGCAGCAUCCUAAGCUUGACUUGGUGGCUAACUUACGUAGAACAUUUAUGAAGGUGGUCUAUACUAGCGGUCGUGAAUACUUGAUCACUAAGUGAUCCUGAACACCUACCUACGUCAUUUAUAACCCCACCGUGUUCCCGAUCGAAGAGAGAUCUUCGAGGGGACAGUCACGGAUACGCACACAAUUGGCAAUUUUAUUAGCUUUUGUUUAAGUUAUCUAAUACCGGAUGUUAACAAAAUAUUCCAAGUUGCCACAUAACCGCGGGCACGGCUUUCCAAAAGAUUAAACCCUACAGGGGUGCUCCAACUAGUCCAUCACAAACAUACACAGGCCGCAAAGUAAUCCUCUAUCACGAAUCUCGUGAUCUCGUCGGAUUCCUUAGAGGAAAACCUCAACUCUGCGGAAAACCAAAGCUUCACUCGGAUUCCUAUACGCAAGAUAUAUCGCUAAGGUAAGGCAAGGCUAGCAGGACCUCCCGACGUGUCGACGACCCUGAUAAGAGCCGCGUAUCUCAGUCUGAGGACACGCCGGAUGAGCUACGCGCACGAUGGCCUGAUAGAAAUCACUCAAGUUGCCCUGAGUUGGCCCCGAGCAGUGCCCAGUUUGGACCAACACUCAUGAGGAGCACUGGCCCGGGUUGUUGAUUAAGUUCCUCGGGGUAGCUAUUCCCUAUGCAGAUUAUUAUUAAGUGAUUAGCAAAUUAACACCAAUGUUGGGUCCUGCCGGACAAGCCUUAGCACUACGCAAUUUAUCGAGGGGGUCCCCAUAACAACCCCGAACGUGUUAGGAGCGAUCAAUAUGGAAUCAAACACCGGUAGCCGGUAACUAUGGCGGCAAUAACGGAACAAAGCAAAAGGCAAAAGGCCAGGCCUUCCGUCAUUUACCAAGUAUAUAGGUGCAUUAAUUAAAUAACAAAAUUUAAGAUAAUGAUAUCAAGCUCAUGUUGUCACAUGAGACAAAGCACCUGCAUCUAGCAACGCUAACAUUAGUAGCUGAGCAAAGCCUACUUAGCCAUUCAAGUUUUGCUAGGUAAGGGUAGUGUUUGGUUUCAUGGCAUAUGAGGAGGCAAUUUAAUUCAGUGGUAGGCAUCGAGCAAUAUGACAUGGAAACGCAAACUAGCAUAACAAGUCUAGAGAUGGAAUCAAGGUCAUAUCAUCUUGCCUGUGAUAUCCUCAGCUUGGAAUGGUUCUCGAUUGUCCUGCACGUACUGUCCUGACUCCACGUAUUCAUCAUCUGAUCCCAUGCUAUCCAACAUAAGAAUAACAUCCAAUGAACAACAGCACCUCAAGAUGCAACAAGCACAUGAUGCAUGAGAUGAAAAAUGAGCAUGCUUCACUAUUUCUAUCACCAACACAAGCUUAAGAAGCUAAAACAAGUUCCUGGACAGAACUGCAUGCUAACCUAUUUUGACAUGCAUGAGAAUGACAUGAUCAGAUGCGUCUCAUGAAAACGAUGCUAACCACAUAAAGAACAAUACAAUCGGAGCUACGGAUCAACGGGAAUCAAAGAAACAAGAUAUGAAGCCCUACGUGUCAAAAUCACCACCACACACUCAAAUGGCACGAAUAUGGUAUUCCCAGGUUGCCAAGACAUAAAUCAACCCAUCAUGGAUGGGGUGGAGCAAAGAAGAACACCACAACAUCAACUAAGCACUCACAAACAUCAAAAUAACAACACUACACAAUCUGCCAUAAACUGCAUCAUAGCACUUUGUGAGCUACAUCCAAAGCACCUACAACCACCCAACUAUGACAAAUAAUAUAUGUGGCUGUAGAUAGCCAAGAAUACUACCAGAUUAAGCAAGAAUCACACAAAAAGGAAUUAAACAUAGGAAGAUACAAGGCUGCAAACUUUCCCAAAACCAUCAGAUCUCAUGGACUUAGUGAAAAUUCCUGCACCUAACUUUCUGUGUUUGCUCUGAAGCUUUUUGACAGCAGCCAAAAAAAUACCUAAAGGGCUCCAAAUGACAUGAAAUUUUACAGGGAUCUAGAAAAACAUAUCAGGUCCAACUUUCUAGUUGAAAGAUAGGGCUAGAUCACAACACAAUGACCAGCACAACCUCAUCUACACGGGAAGAAAAUAUAAACAGAUUCUCAGACUUAGUGAAAAUCUCUUAGAUUUUCACUAAGCUGGAAUUUCAUCCACAAGCCUACUUUGGAUGGGCACAACUUGCACACAUGGAUUCCAAAUCAUGAAUUGAAACCAACAUGUGGUAGAGGGGGUCACCCUCUACUACCACAAUACACAAACAAAUACAAGAGCGCAUCAUAAUCCAUGGAACCAAGCUCUAAACUUAGAAGAAAAUGCAAAUAUGACUUUUCCAGAAAAAUGUUCCAAUGGAAAAAAUGAUUUCACCAAUGGAUUCCUGGGAUCUUUAUACCCCCAAACCACAUAUAAAACACAUGCACUUGCUUGGAGCAAGUGAGCUCAAACUAGGAAGGAAAAACUACAUAGAAUCCAACAUAGUGAAUAGUGCAACAUUUCAUGCAACUCUCACUAGAACAACUAACACAUAACUAUGCUCAUGUGCACAAAGACAAUAUGGACAUGAGGGUUUGGACCCCAUGUUGGUGUCAAGCACAUCACCAACACAAAUACUUCUCUCACUAUGUCACCCCCCCACACACACUUCAUGCCCUCUCUCAUAUUUAGCAUGAGGAGGUGCACAAGUUGCAAAUGGGGCUGUUUUCACCACAUGCAUAUCACCAACUCAUAUGCAUGUCAUCUAGUAGAAACCACACCACCUACACAUGCUAGCAACACAAAAGAAUGCUAACACAUGCAUAUGGCACUUACACACACAUGCAUACAUACNNNNNNNNNNNNNNNNNNNCACACACACAUACACCUCUCACAUGAACACACACAUGCAUCACAUCAUCUGGCACUUCUAUAGCAGCAAAGGGAAAAAAUAAAAUGCCAUUGUCAUCUAGUGUUUUAGGCACAAGUGUAGCAAGCAAAAGCAAAGGAAAAAAAUAGAAAUAAGGGAAAAAGAAAAUGGGGCAGCCUGGGAUUCGAACCCCAGUGCCCCUGGUGCUCUGCAACACACCUAGCCAUUACACUACUGCCAUAAGCUCGACAGAGAAAGGAAGCAACCAGGGUGACUUGCUCCCUGCUGCUACUGUGCAUGAAAAAAUCAGAAAACAAAAGAGCGCCGAGGGGGGACCGAACCCGCGCCCUCCAACAGGCACACCACACUCGCUACCACUGGGCUACGUUACGAUAACUGACAAAGGAGGGUUGUAUUGAGAGGUAAACUACUUCUACUGCGUGGCUUUGCUCUGCACAGCGCAGGGAAGCGCCGGCGACAGGGAGGCCGCCGUGGCUUCUCUGCUGCUGCUGCUGCGCUACGACGAGAGAAGGCACUGUUGUCGAAGCUGCUACGCGGGGGAAGGGUCCCUGCUACUACUGCAUCGCCGAGACACACCACAACUCUACUGCACCACUGCACCUGCUACCUGACAGAGAGGCACGCGAGCACUUCGCCGGAUCCCGGCCGAUCGAAGGAGGAAGAAGGAAGGGGAGGUGCAGCCUCACCUCGGGAAGGAAGGGAAGAGGCCACCCGCUCGAAGGAGUAGCCGUAGGGGAAGAAGACGCCGUCGGUUCUCUGCUGCUGACGAGGUAGAGGAAGACGACGGGAGCUUUGGGGCCGAGACGAUGACGCGCUGCUGGCCGUCGUUGUGGUCGCCCCUCGUCCUCAAUGCUGGUGGGAAUGGGGCGCGGGGAGCCUCCCCGAUCUCCUGGACAUGGCGACGGCACCGGAAGCCGACGGGAACGGAGGUAGACGACGACGAUGACCUCUCUCUCUCUGCUAUUCCUACAGGACACUUACCGGCGAGGGACGGAAGGGAGACUAGAUGGAGAUGGGGAGAGGUGGCGGCGGCGGCUGAGGGGGGAAGAGGAACCCGCACGGACGCCAACGCUUUAAAGGGGGGAAGCCUCGACGUUGCUGCUGCUCACGGCGUCGGCGAGUUCUCUCUCAGCCUCUGACGGAAAGGAGUAGGGGGGAGAGACGGCGUUAGAGAAAGGAGAAGGAGGCGCGGGGAUGGGCUACUGGAGCGAGAGCGAAGGAAGUUGGGCCACGGGAGGAGGGUUGUGUCCCAAGUUGGCGCCAGGUAUAGAGAAAGAAGCCCUGAGGGGGGGUUUUCUAAUUACAGAAAGGCCUGAAAGAAAAGAAAUAAAACAAGGCAAAACUACUGGGGAUAAAUCAAAAGAAAAUACCCCUUGGUCAUAGAAAAAUAUGACCUAUUUAAAUAAAACAAGAACAAGAUUUUUAGGAGCAAGCAAUAUUUGACAAAACAGAAUUAAUGCCUCUGUUUUGUAUUUAUUGCACCUGUUUACAACACUUUUAAAAUGACCAAACUUGCACAACUUAACACCCACAAUCUCCUCUAAAUAAUAGACAUUUUCAAAUCAGCUUAAGAGCAAGCAAAUAUUAGAACUAGGGAAUAAAGAGAGAAAAGGGUCUUUGAAUUGAGAAGGGCUUUGGAGUAAACAACACCACAUCAUAUCUACUCAUCCCACAUCUCAUGAGCAUCACACAUGAACUCACAAGAUCACAACUCAAGGAAGCAUAAGACCACAAAGCAACAUCACAAGACAUGACAUGAAAUGAUAUGUUAUGCAUGCAUGCAAGGGAAGGAAGUAAUAAGGGACACACAUGAAAUCAUGGCUCAAAAUGACAACAUCAUAUCCAAGACAAGGUGGACCCACUUGCAAUAGGUUCCAAAUAGGGAAGGAUUACACUUGGGGCACUACAACAUGUCAGAGUUAGGAAUAAUGGAAGACACGCCGAAACAAAGAUGUAUCACCAUGUUCACUCCCUUGGAGGGGAGCUACUUGUCGUUGGAGAGGUGGAAAUUCCACAAAGGAAGAAUGAACACCACAAAGGCUCGCCUUCUUCUCCUUGAGAUAUCACCGCAAAGUAGAUUCCCAUCCACUCAUGGUAGACUUUGAGAUGGUCUCCAAACCUUGAAAAACAUUGGGGCAAAUGACAAAUCGAUUUCUCACCUAGAACUCCUACUGCAUGGGAUUCUCCAAUCGCUAAGAGUAACAAGGUCAAAGAAGAAAAUUUUGAAGCUUGCUCAAAUCAUGAAUAGGAUAGGAAAAGAGAGAGGAAUAGAUCUUUGCUUGGGGUGGAAUUCUCGCUCAUAUAUUUCAUAAACUCCACAACAAAUUAAUAAUAUCGGAUAAUUAAUAAUAUAUGUCUAUGUGCAUUGGUCGAUGCACAUGGCGGCCAUUGAUAUUGCCGCCCAACAAUAUCCCUCGCCCGAUGCAACAAAAUCAACAACUGGUUCUAGCAAAAAAUACCGAGAUGCAACAAUUUAGCACAUCCACUAUCAUCCUCGCCGAUUGAAGCAAAUCUCGUGGAAGGUUUUGGCACGGCACCUCUUCGGCCGGAACACACCCCCGUGUCGCACCUUGCUAGUCCCAGCACCAUAGGUCAGCGUCGUAGCAUGUCGGCUCCAACAUGUCGCUGCUGGAUGGGGCGUGGGUCUAUAGGUACGCUGACAGCCAGGGAGGUUCGAACAGGUUGAGAGAGGAGGGGGCGAGAUCGAAUGAGGAAUUCAACACCUGCGACUAAGAGAAGUAGAGCGACGAAGAUGAAGGAAAAACGAGAGAAACAAAUGGAUAAGGUGCACAUUAGAAAAGAAAGCAAUGGAGAUGGGGCCAGGACGAUGUGCGCGGGUACGUGCGUGUGAUUGAUGAAGUGUUCCAUCGGACGACCGAUUAGAAUAUUUUACCUUUCUCGAAGGAGAGCUGAUCGAUGUUUUGCGAGGGUGCAUGAGUCAAGCACAAAAGAAUACGAUGGUUCGAUGCCGAAAAUCGUUUUCUCGGCCGAGGCUCAUGUGCACCCGCAUUGAUGAAAAAAAAUCGAAACCAAUACUAAAAAGUUCAAACAAUCUAUUUUUUUACACGAUAGAUAUAUAGAUGCGUGAGACCCACUAUAAUUUUUAAAUUAUUUGAAUAUCUAUAUAAAAAAGACAGAUUCAAGGUCUCUAAAAAGUUUAAUGUUUAAAUAGUGUUCUGAUCUGAUUUUUUUAUUGAAAGUUGUUCAGAUAGCCAAAUGAUUUAAAAAUUAAAGCAGACCUCAUGUAAAAACUUUUCUACCAUAAAAAUAGAUUUUUUUGAAUCUUUUAAAAAAAAUUAUAAUUAUUUUCUAACCGGGUGCAGAUUAGACUUGACACCGAAACGCUACACUCGACCCUAGCUAUUGCACAUUUUUCUUGUAAACGUCCACAUCGACAUGCAUCCACGUCAACAUAGCUAUCAACCUCUCAUCCUUUUCUCCUUCAUCAAGCACGCUUGAUGAUGACUAUGAAGAAUAGUGUAUUGGAUGGAAGCCGGCGACCGGUAUGCCCAUGCUACACCACGCCUUCUUGUGGUAUGCAGUGUGUAUACCUGGACAUUUUCCGGACCGGGCCGGGUUUCGGGCCGGGCCAAAAAAAACCCGAUGCUAAAAAUCCAGGCCCGAGCCUGGUCCGGCCCAACCGUUAGGCCUGAAUUUUAGGCUCAAGCCUAGCCCGAGACGAAAAAAGGCCGAAUGGGCUUGAUUGGCCCGGCCCGACUAUGGCUUAAUUUUAUUUUUCAAUAGUUCUGAGUCUCGUCCGACAUGACUAUCAGACUCAACUUUUCGGCCCGAGCCCGAUCGGAUGGGACAAAUAGGGCCGGCCCUACUAGUAGAAAAUAGAUCUUUCGGCCAGAGCAGAAAAGAGCAUUAGUCUCGGUUCAAAUUAAAAUCGAGACCAAUGCGAGGCAUUGGUCCUGGUUCGAGUUGCGAGGGAAAUAGUCCCGGUUCGUUUCGUUUCAUUAGUCCCGGUUCGGACAAAAACCGGGACUAAAGAUUCAGCGACUGCCACGUGGCGUGUCGCGUAGCAUUAGACCCGGUUUGUAGCCAGAACCGGGACUAAUAGUUAGUCUUAUGUUCCGGUUCUGGCCACAAACCGGGACCAAAGAGAUGCCUAUAUAUACGCCCCUGCCCACCCUCUCCUUUGUUUUUUGCUUGUGUGAGGUGUGCAUGCCAUGCUCCUGCCACCCUUCUAUAUAUGCAUGCACAUGAGGUGUUCGAUGAAAUGUUUGAGCCACACUAUUUAAGCUUUCUCCUCUCCAAGCUUCAUUUUCCUCAAUAUUUGUCUAGGUUUGGCGGUGCACCAACUACACAACUGUUCUAAAAGGUUGGCUACUUCAUCCUUUCAUCUCUCACUGUUAUUUUGAUUUAGAUGCAAAAUUUGAGCUCAAAUUAACUUCUUAGAGUCUGCACAUGUGUAGGGUCCCGUCCCGUGCCCGUCCUCACCGUUGUCGAUCGCUCGCGCCGAUCUCGUCGCGAGCACCACCGUGGUGAGCCUCUUGUUCUUAUCUUAUUUUUAAAAGAAAAAAAUUCUUCUUUGUAUGAUUUAGAUAGAUACUUGUAUAAAUUACUUACUUUUUUAUUAUUAUUAUAUAGUGCGAUGGUUUUGGUAUCCGCCUCCGUUGGUCCUCGUCGUGUCUAUGAUUCGGAUGUGGUAUAUAUUAUCUUUUAUAACUAUUUAUUUUAUUUAAUGUUUAUUGAAAUUAUGACGACCAACGUGACAUAUAUUUUUUAAUCUAGGAGGUAUGUGAACCGGAAAUUCCAACCCACAUAGAAAUUCUUGUCGAGAAGUUAAAUUUGGUUGAAAAAGAAAACAAUUACUUGAAGAAAAAAUUGAAAAUAAUUGAAGAGAAGAAUAUGGAACUGGAGUUGCAUGUUGCUGAUGUCGUCGAUGAUCGCAAGAUGAAGAUGGAUGCAAUGCGGUUGAAGAUGGAUGCAAUGUGCUUGAAGAUGGAUGAAAUGCGCUUGAAGAUUAGGAAUAUUAGAAAAUAUGCCAUUGAUAAAGAGGCUUGGUAUCAUUAUGCUGUUGGGUGAAUUGUUAGCUUAGUUACGAUUUUGAUCGCAUUUGUUGUUGCAUUUAAAUGUUUUACAUAGUUGUAUGUUGUUUUAUGAGAGAACUUUAUGUAAUUAUUUUUGCAAUAAUAACAUUUGAUCACUACUGUGCUUUGGUUUUAAUGUGAUGAUGAACUUGUAUUAAUUUGGUCAUUUAUCUAUUCAUGAUGUUCCGUAAUGGUUUUUGAUAUACUUAAUUUCAUAAUACAGAUGAACCACCAAUGGAUGUACGGUGACCGACGCACUUCGGAGUACAUUACGAACCGGGACUAAUGCCCGAGUCACACUUAAGUUCACAUAAAAUGGUAUCCUCGACCGAGGUUAGCAACCUUAUCCUUUUCAUGUGUAAUUGAUACAAAAAUAUUGCAUUUGUCCAUGUACGGUGGUCAUUUCACUAUUCAUGUAUGUUGCAGAUCGAUCCAUCGAAGCGAUGGAUGUACGGCGAACGACGCGGUUCUGUAUUUAUUACAGGCCUCCAUAAAUUUAUCGAUGUGGUUGAGGCAAACAAAGUGGAUAAUUUUAUGCCUUGUCCAUGUGUUGACUAUCGAAACGUGAAGGAGUACUCUAGCUCGAAAAUCAUUCAAGGCCACAUGCUUCGGAGAGGUUUCAUGCCCACAUAUUAUUGUUGGACCAUGCACGGAGAAAGAGGGGUUAUGAUGGAAGGCAAUGAAGAAGAAGAUGAUUAUGACAACUAUGCUAUGUUCACUGAAGAAUACGAUGAUACUGCAAUGAAAGACAAUGAAUAAGAAGGAGGUGAAGAACAACCGACAUCUGAUGAGCCCCCUAAUGGUCUUGGUCGGGUCAUUUCUGAUGCAAAGACACAAUGCAAUACAGAUAAGGAGAAGCUGAAGUUGGAGGCCAUGCUAAAGGAUCAUAAAAAGUUGAUGUACCCAAAUUGCAAAGAUGGCAGCACAAAGCUCGGUACCACACUGGAACUGUUGAAAUGGAAGGCAGAAAUUGGUUUAUCUGACAAGGGAUUUGAGAAGCUAAUGAAAAUAUUGAAGCUGAAGCUUCCAAAGGAUAACGAAUUGCCCGAGACUACGUACGAAGCAAAGAAAGCUAUCUGUCCUCUUGGAUUAGAUGUGCAGAAUAUACAUGGAUGCAUUAAUGACUGCAUCCUGUACCGCGGUGAGAAGUACGAGAAUAUGGACAAAUUCCCGGUAUGUACUGCAUGUCGGUACAAGAUCAGACACGAUGAUCGUGGUGAUGUUGAGGGCGAUGACGAGUCCCCCAGGAAGAAGUUCCUGCUAAGGUUAUGUGGUAUGCUCCUAUAAUACCACGGUUGAAACGUCUGUUCAGAAACAAUGAGCAUGCCAAGUUGAUGCGAUGGCACAAAGACGAGCGUAAGAAAGACGGGAAGUUGAGACACCUCGCAGAUGGGUUGUAGUGGAGGAAAAUCGAGAGGGAGUGGCCGGACUUUGGAGAUGACCCAAGGAACUUAUGGAUUGGUCUAAGUACAGACGACAUGAAUCCUUUUGGGGAGCAGAGCUGCAGUCACAGCACCUGGCCCGUGACUUUAUGUAUCUACAACCUUCCUCCUUGGUUGUGCAUGAAGCGGAAGUUCAUUAUGAUGCCAGUGCUCAUCCAAGGACCGAAGCAACCCGGUAAUGACAUUGAUGUGUACCUAAGACCAUUAGUUGAUGAACUUUUGGAGGUGUGGGCCAAACCAGGUGUACGUGUGUGGGAUGAGCACAAACGGCGGGAAUUUGACUUACAAGCAUUGAUGUUCGUACCCAUCAAUGAUUGGCCUGAUCUUAGUAACAUUUCAGGACAGUCAAACAAGGGAUACAAUGAAUGCACGCACUAUUUAGAUAAGACUAGAGGUACAUAUUUGGAAAAAUCUAAGAAGGUUGUCUACCUGGGGUGUCGUCAAUUUCUUCCGACCAAUCAUCCCGUAAGAAAGAAAGGCAAGCAUUUCAACGGUGAGGCAGAUCACCGGAAGAAUCCUAACCUCCCUACUGGUGAUGAGUUAUUGGCUAUGGUUAAGGAUUAGGGUCAAAUAGUAAUCUUUGGAAAGGGUCAUGGCGGUCAAUCUAUUCCGAAAGACGACGUUACCGGACACGUGCCCAUGUGGAAAGAGAAAUCUUUAUUUUGGGAGCUACCCUAUUGGAAACACCUAGAGGUCCUGUCUUCAAUCGACGUGAUGCACGUGAUGAAGAAUCUUUGCGUGAACCUGCUAGGCUUCCUGGGCAUGUAUGGGAAGACAAAAGAUACAACAGAAGCACGAGAGGAGCAGCAACGUGUGAAAGACCCAUACGCCGAGAAGACUGAUAAAGGGCGUCAAUACUUAAGCAGCUACGCUCUUACCAAAGCAGAGAAGGAAAUAUUUUUUGAAUGCCUGAGCAGUAUGAAGGUCCCCGCUGGCUUCUCGUCUAAUAUAAAGGGAAUAAUAAAUAUGGCAGAGAAAAAAAUUCCAGAACAUGAAGUCUCAUGAUUGCCACGUGAUUAUGACGCAGUUGCUUCCGGUUGCAUUGAGGGGGCUUCUACCGGAAAAUGUUCGAUUACCCAUUGUGAAGCUAUGUGCAUUCCUCAAUGCAAUAUUUCAGAAGUUAAUCGAUCAAGAACGUAUGGAAAGGCUACAAAAGGAUGUGGUCCAAUGUCUUGUCAGUUUUGAGUUGGUGUUCCCCCGUCCUUCGUCAAUAUUAUGACGCAUCUCGUGGUUCACCUAAUCGACGAGAUUUCCAUUCUCGGUCCUAUAUUUCUACACAAUAUGUUCCCCUUCGAGAGGUUCAUGGGAGUCUUAAAGAAAUAUGUUCAUAACCGUGCUAGGCCAGAAGGAAGCAUCUCCGAGGGCUAUGGAACAGAGGAGGUCAUUGGGUUGUGUGUAAACUUUCUUCCUGACCUUAAGACGCUUGGUGUUCCUGAAUCGCGGCAUGAGGGGAGACUGAGUGGAAAAGGCAUGCUAGGAAAGAAAGCAGUGAUAUGUAGGGACGGGCAUUCUUUCACUUAAGCACACUACACAGUUCUAAAAAGUUCCACCUUCGUGGCUUCGUAUAUCGAGGAACACAAGAAUUUUGUACGGUCCGAGUUCCCGGGGAAGGCUAUCUCGUGGAUUGAAGAAAAACACAUGUAUACUUUCGGCAGUUGGUUGCGAGCACGUCUCAUGAAUGACAACACUGUUGGAGAUCAACUCUACUUGUUGGCCGCGUUACCUUCUUCAACUGUAUUACAUUUCCAAGGGCACGAGAUAAACGGGAAUACAUUUUACACGACCGGCCAAGAUAAAAAGAGCACCAACCAAAACAGUGGUGUCCGCUAUGAUGCGACAGACGAGAAUGGGAAAAAGGACACAUACUAUGGUUACAUAAAGGAGAUAUGGGAACUUGACUAUGGACCUACUUUUAAGGUCCCUUUGUUUCGGUGUAGUUGGGUGAACAUGAAUGGAGAAGAGGUAAAGGUAGAACAGUUGUACGGAAUGACAAGAGUAGAUCUCAAGAAUCUUGGUUACAGAGACGAGCCAUUCGUCCUAGCCAAUGAUGUGGCUCAGGUUUUCUACGUGAAAGACAUGUCCUCCAGACCGAAAAAAAGAAAAAAAUAAGCAAAUGAAUACAUUGGACUAUGAGCCAAAGCAUCACAUAGUUCUUUCACGGAAAAGAAACAUCGUGGGGAUCGAGGACAAGACAAACAUGUCAGCAUAUUAUAAUAAGUUUGAUGAAAUUCCGCCCUUCAUAGUGAGAAUUGACCCAAGCAUCCCGCUAAAUAAUGAAGAUUCUCCAUGGUUACGGCCAAAGCGAUCAUAGGCAAGGGAUCGAAAUAUAAAUCUAUGUAAUGUAUUAAACUUUAUGUGAUGUGUACUAAUGUAUUAAACUUCGAAAGAGAUUGUCCGUUUUGUACACGAAGUGCAUUCAGUUUUUGUCGUAACCCUCUCAACUUUUUAGCACAUGCUAUGUGGGUGAAAUGAUGAUACCAUGCCAACUUUCAACAUUUUCACAGUUCAUUUGUAGUUCUUUUCAAUUUCAGGGUCAAUUAGUUCAAAAAAAAGUAAAUGCACGAAAAAUACCAAAUGAAGUCAGAAAAUGUUGAAAAUUUAUGAUGUGCCUUUGAAUGGUGCAUUUUGAACACACAAAAAGUAUGAAGUUCAAAGAAGUUCAAAAAAAUGAAAUCCCUUUGUAACAGAUGAGUUCUCAUUCGAAACCCUCAUACUUCAAAAGAGAUUGUCCGUUUUGUACACAAAGUGCAUCCAGUUUUUGUCGUAACCCUCUCAACUUUUUAGCACAUGCUUGUGGGUGAAAUGAUGAUACCAUGCCAACUUUCAACAUUUUCAGAGUUCAUUUGUAGUGCUUUUCAAUUUCAGGGUCAAUUAGCUCAAAAAAAUAAGUAAAUGCAUGAAAAAUACCAAAUGAAGUCAGAAAUUGUUGAAAAUUUAUGAUGUGCCUUUGAAUGGUGCAUUUUGAACACACAAAACGUAUGGAGUUCAAAUAAUUUCAAAAAAAAUGAAAUUCCUUUAUAACACAUGAGUUGUCGUUCAAAGCCCUCAUACUUCGAAAGAGAUUGUCCGUUUUGUAAACGAAGUGCAUCCAAUUUUUGUCGUAACCCUCUCAACUUUUUAUCACAUGCUAUGUGGGUGAAAUUAUGACACCAUGCCAACUUUCAACAUUUUCAGAGUUCAUUUGUAGUGCUUUUCAAUUUCAGGGUCAAUUAGCUCAAAAAAAUAAGUAAGUGCACAAAAAAAUGCCAAAUGAAGUCAAAAAUUGUGGAAAAUUUAUGAUGUGCCUUUGAAUGGUGCAUUUUGAACACAAAAAAGUAUGGAGUUCAAAUAAGUUCAAAAAAAUGAAAUCCUUUUAUAACAGAUGGGUUCUCGUUUGAAACCGUGAUACUUCGAAAGAGAUUGUCCGUUUUGUACACGAAGUGCAUCCAGUUUUUGUCGUAACCCUCUCAACUUUUUAGCACAUGCUUGUGGGUGAAAUGAUGAUACCAUGCCAACUUUCAACAUUUACAGAGUUCAUUUGUAGUGCUUUUCAAUUUCAGGGUCAAUUAGCAAAAAAAUUAGUAAAUGCACGAAAAAUACCAAAUGAAGUCAGAAAUUGUUGAAAAUUUAUGAUGUGCCUUUGAAUGGUGCAUUUUGAACACACAAAACGUAUGGAGUUCAAAUAAUUUCAAAAAAAUGAAAUUCCUUUGUAACACACGAGUUGUCGUUCGAAACCCUCAUACUUCGAAAGAGAUUGUCCGUUUUGUAAACGAAGUGCAUCCAGUUUUUGUCGUAACCCUCUCAACUUUUUAUCACAUGCUAUGUGGGUGAAAUUAUGACACCAUGCCAACUUUCAACAUUUUCAGAGUUCAUUUGUAGUGCUUUUCAAUUUUAGGGUCAAUUAGCUCAAAAAAAUAAGUAAGUGCACAAAAAAUACCAAAUGAAGUAAAAAAUUGUGGAAAAUUUAUGAUGUGCCUUUGAAUGGUGCAUUUUGAACACAAAAAAUUAUGAAGUUCAAAUAAGUUCAAAAAAAUGAAAUCCCUUUAUAACACAUGAGUUCUCGUUCGAAACCUUGAUACUUCGAAAGAGAUUGUCCGUUUUGUACACGAAGUGCAUCCAGUUUUUGUCGUAACCCUCUCAACUUUUUAGCACAUGCUAUGUGGGUGAAAUGAUAAUACCAUUCCAACUUUCAACAUUUCGAGAGUUCAUUUGUAGUGCUUUUCAAUUUCAGGGUCAAUUAGCUCAAAAAAAGUAAAUGCACGAAAAAUACCAACUCAAAAGAAUUUUCAUAAAGUUUUUUUGUUAAAAUAUUUAAUAGAAAAAUAGGGGGGGGGGGAAUAAAAGAGAGAAAAAAAUCUUUAAUAGCAAAGAAUUAAAAUAUAAUCUAGGACUAAGAAAUAUUAAAGUAAAAAAAUAAAAAAUGCCACCUAUUGGGCCAUCACGGCAUGCAUACGACUAGAAACCCUACACGAAAGAUGGGCAAGGAUGCAGACCCGCGGGCACAAUAGGCCCAACAUGCACAGAGAGGAUAGUUAGGCCCAUAGUCCUGCUUUGGAGAGGGCAUGAGAGGCGGGAAGCGAGGGCCUUUAGUCCCGGGUUGGGGCUAGAACCGGGACUAAAGGGGGGGGGGGUCUUUAGUCCCGGUUCUAGCCCCAACCCGGGACUAAAGUUCUACUACCUGUAUCGGGUUAUUGAGACCAUGGAUCUCUUCGAUAGGUGGUAGAUUUUUGACAUCUUCAGAUUUAAUGCAUUUCUCUCGCAUAGAUUUCUUGGCUUCUUGCAUAUCUUCAGGCCUGAGGAAUAUGAUACCUCUUUUCUUCAGAGUUGGCUUAGGAGGUGGUUCGGGAAUAGUCCAAGCAUUCUCAUUGCACAAGAUGUUGUUCAGUAGAAUCUCAGCUUGUUCUAUGGUUCGAUCCCUAAAAACACAACCAGCACAACUACUAGGUGGUCUUUAGAAACAUCGGUAAGUCCAUUAUAGAAGAUAUCAAGUAUCUCAUUCUUCUCAAGAGGGUGAUCAGGCAAAGCAUUCAGUAGCUGGAUAAGCCUCCCCAAGCUUGUGGGAGACUCUCUUCUUCAGCUUGAGCAAAGUUGUAUAUUUCCUGCAAGGUAGCUUGCUUCUUAUGGGCAGGGAAAUAUUUUUUACAGAAGUAGUAGACCAUAUCUUGGGGGCUACGCACAGAACCAGGAGCAAGAGAAGUGAACCAGGUCUUAGCAUCAUCCUUUAGCGAGAAAGGAAACAACUUGAGCAUAUAGUAGUGGCGGAUCUUUUCCUCACUAGUGAAUAGGGUGGCUAUAUUGUGCAGUUUGGUAAGAUGGGCUACAACCAUUACAGAAUCAUAACCGCGAAAAGGAUCAGAUUCGACUAGAGUAAUUAACUCAGGGUCGACAGAGAAUUCAUAAUCCUCAUCGGUCACAAAGAUAGGCGAAGUGGCAAACUUCGGGUCGUAUUUCAUCCUAGCGUUCAGAGAUUUUUCUUUCCACUUGUGUAGAAGUUUCUCAACAUCAUAGCUAUCCUUACACGCAAGAAAAUCCUCAGCUAUCUCUCCCUCCAUAACAUAACGCGUAUCAGGCAUAACAGGCAAUUCAGGUAUAAUAGGAGGUUCUACUUCAAUAGUAUCAGCAGUUUCAGAAGUAUCAUCACAUCUAGCAGCAGCUCUAGCAAUUCGUGCAUCAAGGGCACCUAGUGGAAAAGAAGUAUCAAGCAUGGCAGGCAUAGUAUCAAGCAUAACAUCAUGAGGCAUAGUAUCAAGCAUAGCAUCAUCAGGCAUAGUAUCAAGCAUAGCAUCAUCAGGCAUAGUAUCAAGCAUAGCAUCAUCAUGCAUAGUAUCAAGCAUAGCACCAUCAGGCAUAGUGUCAAGCAUAGCAUCAUGGACUGCAUAAGUAGUAUCAUCAAGCACAGGCGACAUAUCAUUAUUUCUAGAAGGAGGCGAAGUCGCAAACUUACUCAAAACUGAAGGUGAAUCAAGUGCAGAGCUAGAUGGCAGUUCCUUACCUCUCCUCGUAGUGGAAGGUAGGAUUUUAGUUCUUGGAUAUUUCGGAUUCCUCAUAGUGAUCAGCAGACGUCAAUCCCAAGUGACUCAGAGAAUAUAGCUUUGGUUCCCCGGCAACGGCGCCAGAAAAAGCCUUGAUGUCCCACAAGCGUAUGGGAUCGCAACAGUUUUCGAGGGUAGAGUAUUCAAUCCAAAUUUAUUGAUUCGACUCAAGGGGAAGCGAAAGAAUAUUCUCAAGUAUUAGCAGUUGAGUUGUCAAUUCAACCACACCUGAAAGAUUAGUGUGUGCAAGCAAAGUAUUAGUAGCAUGGUAUUACGAUAGCAAAGGUCCCAGAAAAAAGCCUUGGUUGACGAGAUGUUAGUACCGCUUACCUAGCCUCGGCAUCGGCGCCAACAAAGUCUUGCAACAAGUAACAUCAGGGUAGCAAGGAACAGUGGUAGCAGUAGUAGCAGCAAAGUAACAAGUAACAACAGUAGCAACAGUAGCAGCAAAGUGGCCCAAUCCCUCUUGUAGCAAGGGACAAGCCUAGGCAAAGUAACGUAGCAAGAACCAGUAGUAAAAGACUUGUAGGCAGUGGAUCGGUGAUGGAUGAGUGUGACAGAUGUGAUUCAUCAUGUAACAGCUAUAACACGGAGAGAUAUGUGGCUAGCUCCCGUUCAUCAAUCUAAUGUAGGCAUGUAUUCCGUAUGUAGUCAUACGUGCUUAGGGAAAAGAACUUGCAUGACAUCUAUUGUCCAUCCCUCCCAUGGCAGCGGGGUCCAAAUGGAAACUACGGGAUAUUAAGGUUCUCCUUUUAAUAAAGAACCGGACCAACGCAUUAACACGAUGUGAAUACAUGAACUCCUCAUACUAUGGUCAUCUUCAGGAGUGGUUCCGGCUAUUGUCACUCCGGGGUUGCUGGGUCAUAACACAUAGUAGGUGACUACAACUUGCAAGAUAGGAUCAAGAACACACAUAUAUUGAUGAAAACAUUAUAGGUUCAGAUCUGAAAUCAUGGCACUCGGGCCAUAGUGACAAGCAUUAAGCAUAGCCAAGUAGUAGCAACAUCAAUCUAGAACAUAGUGGAUACUAGGGAUCAAUCCCCGUCAAUAACUAACUCGAUUACAUGGUAGAUCUCAUCCAACUCAUCACCGUCCAGCAAGCCUACGAUGAGAUUACUCACGAACGAUGAAGAGCAUCAUGGAAUUGCCGAUGGAGAAAGGUUGAUGAUGACGAUGGCGACGAUUUCCCCUCUCCGGAGCCUGAAACGGACUCCAGAUCUGCCCUCUAGAUGAAGAACAGGAUGUGGCGACGCCUCCAUAUCGCAAAACGCGAUGAAACCUUCUCUCUGAUUUUUUUCAGGUGAAACGGAAGAUAUAGAGCUGAGAUUGGGGGCGGUGGUGCCACGUGGGCCCCACAAGCCUACAUGGCGCGACCGUAGGGGGUGGUCGCGGCCUAUGGGCUUGUGGCCCACUGCCACGCCCCCUCCGGUGGAUCUUUGCGCAGGUAUUUUUCUUUUAUUCCAGAAAAAAUCUCCGUAAAUUUUCAGGACGUUCCGAGAACUUUCAUUUCUGCACAAAAACAACACCAUGGCAAUUCUGCUGAAAACAGCGUGAGUCCGGGUUAGUUCAUUUCAAAUCAUGCAAAUUAGAGUCCAAAACAAGGGCAAAAGAGUUCGGAAAAGUAGAUACGACGGAGACGUAUCAACUCCCCCAAGCUUAAAGCCUUGCUUGUCCUCAAGCAACUCAGUUGACAAACUGAGAGAGACAAAAGAAAAACUUUGACGAAUUCUGUUUGAUCUUGUUGUUGCAACUAUGUCUAACUCAUAACCAGAAUUUCAGCAAGAACACAAUCAAACCAUAUAAGCAAAUGACAUCUAGGUCUCACGGUAAACUCAUAUCAAUGGCAUAAUCAAGUAGCGAGCAAAUAAUAAUAAGCCUCAAGUGUCAACACUUCAAUCAAAACGACAUGAAGCAGUACUAACAGGUGGUAUCUCGCUAGCUCUUUCUGAGACUGCGAAACAUAAAUGCAGAGCACCUUCAAAGACCAAGGGCUGACUAAACAUUGUAAUUCAUGGCAAUGAAGAUCCAGUCAUAGUCACACUCAACACACUUAAAAGCAAAGCAUAAAAAUGACAGAGGUGCUCUCUAAUUGGUGCUUUUGUAAGAAGAGGAUGACUCAAUAGGAACAUAAAUAGACAGGCCCUUCGCAGAGGGAAGCAGUGAUUUGCAGAGGUGCCAGAGCUCAAGCUUUGAAAACAGAGAUAAUAAUUUUGGGUGGCAUGCUCUCAUUGUCAGCGCAAUGACCAAGAGUUCUCAACAUCUUCCACGCUACACAUGCUAUAGGCAGUUCCCAAACAGAAAAGUAAAGUUUUGACUCCCCCACCACCAAUCAAUCACACUCCACGGCUAGGCGAAUCCUCGGGUGCCGUCCAUACCGACAUCAAUCCUGGGGGAGUUCUGUUUGCAAUUAUCUUUUUGAUUUGAGCAUGGAACUCGGAAUUCGAAUUACCGACCCCUUUCUCGUGAAUGAUAGUGAACAAACACAUAUCGAGGAUAACACGCCUAGCAUGGAAGAUACCAAUAGCUCCCUGUCACCACAUGAGCGGUUCGGGCAUGCAAAACAGAUUAUUUCUUGAAGAUUUAGAGAAUGGUACAUGCAAAUUUACUUGGAACGGCAGGUAGAUACCGCACAUAGGUAGGUAUGGUGGAACCGUAUGGAACAACUUUGGGUUUAUGGAAGUGGAUGCACAAGCAGUAUUCCCGCUUAGUACAAGUGAAGGCUAGCAAAAGACUGGGAAGCGACCAACUAGAGAGCGACAACAGUCAUCAAAAUGCAUUGAGAUUAACUAACAUUGAGUGCAAGCAUGAGUAGGACAUAAAUCACCAUGAACAUGAACAUCAUAGAGGCUAUGUUGAUUUUGUUUCAACUACAUGCGUGAACAUGCGCCAAGUCAAGCCACUUGAAACAUUCAAAGGAGGAUACCAUCCUAUCAUACUACAUCAUAGUCAUCUCAACAUUCAAGUGGGCAUCCAAGACAAACCAUUAUAAGCUCCUAGCUAAGUAAGCAUGGCAUAAGCAACUAUGAUCUCUAAGCUAUCAUUGCAAACAUGUUUCCCUCACAACAAAGCUGAACCAGGCAUAAUGAGCUAGUCAUAUUUACAAAAACAAAAUAGAUCGGGUUCAUACCAGCUUUUCCAGGCUCAGUCACUUCAUCAUAUAUCCUCAUUGUUGCCUUUCACUUGCACGACUGAGCGAUGUGAACAAUAAUAAGAGUGCUCGUGCAUUGGACUAAAGCUGGAAUCUGCAGGCAAACACAAAGGAGAAUACAAAGAAAUAUGGCUCUUUGAAAGCUGAACAGGUAUGCAUGCAAGAGCCACUAAACAUUGUAACCAAUAUCUUCUACCUUGACCCAAAGAAAAAGAAAACUAUCUACACGGGAAAGCUCUAAACAAGCAAAAGAAGAAAAGAAAAUCUUUUUGGUUUUUUCUCAAACUAGACAGACACACGAAAAGAAAACGAGAAAAAGAAAAUAAACUAACAUGGAUGAUACAGUGGCAAAGUGUGAACACCGGCUAACAAAGUGAAAGCAUAAGCAAGAUUGUAAAGUCGGUGAGAACACAUACUCCCCCAAGCUUAGGAUUUUGGCCUAACUUGGUCUACUCCCAAGGACGGUCCUGGCGAAACCCAAAAUCAUAGUCGGGGUUAUACGGGAGCGCUGCAGUCACUGCCUGAAUAGCUGCCUCACGGAGACGAGCAACCGUCGCCUCCCUCUCAUACUCCUAUGCCUCUCCUUUGGUUAUGUAAUAUCUCUAUUUUACCUGAAAGUCAAAGAAAGCAGGAGCAGGAUGGGUAAUAUGGAAAACACGCUGCCGGUUAAAUAUCAAUCGGUAUAGGAGGGAUUCAUCAUCCCUCUCAAGGAACUGGUAGCGUGUCAUAGCGACGCGGUCAGGGAAAGCUGUAUGGAGCAGGGGAUCUCCUUCGCGGAUGGGUACUCCAAGGAAAUUUGCUAUGCGAGUGGCAUAAAUCCCACCAAAGAAGUCCCCUUCAAUAGCAUUCUUAUUCAGCCUCCUUGCUAUAAUAGCUCCCAUGUUGAAGCUUUUGUCACCCGUCACUGCACUCUUAAGGAUACAAAGGUCGGGUGCGCAGAGGUGACAAUGCUCAAUCUUGCCAUUAAUGCAUCUGCCUAUGAAGAGGGCAAAGUAAUGCAAGGUAGGGAAAUGAAUACUCCCCAUGGUAGCUUGUGUAAUGUAUCUAGUUUCUCCAACCGUAAUACCAGCGCAAAAAUCUCUAACCAAAGAUUUAGGAGGAUCAUUGAGGUUACCCCAAAUAGGUAUUUUGCAAAUUCUACUGAAAUCCUCUAAAUCCAUGGUAUACGAUUUAUCAUAGAGAUCAAAAAGUACCGAUGGCUCACGGCCAGCUGAAAAUUUGAAUCUACGAAUAAAAGAGGCAGUGAGAGCAACAUACUGUUCACAUUUAUCGGAGAUGAAUUCUUCGAGUCCGACGUUGCGAUCAAAUGCAUUAAACUCAUCUUUGAAACCUGCAUCAAUCAUAAAUUCAUCAGAAGGCCAUUCACAUGGUUGUACGUGCGCGUCCCUAGGUUGGUAAGGAUCAGGCUCCCGAAUCGCAAGACGGGGACCUCUCUUGUUUGAGGAACCACCAUGAUAGUUUCUCCUGAACAUCUUCCUUUUCUGAAAUUUUCAGUGACCCAAAGGAAAGGUGAACAAGGUUCAACUAAACUUGUAGCAACUACUCCCACAAGUGCCUAGAGACCAUAUUACGCAUCAAAACUACUUGGGACCAGCUAGAAUCAGCAUACAAAGCUCAAGAACAUGGUCAACAAGGCAGCAAAAAUACGCGAAGUAUAAGGCACUAGAGCAAAAACUAAUUGGACCAAUGGAGGAGUCUCUUACCAAGGAGUAAUUUCCCCAAAACAGUUCGGAGAACGGUGAUUUGAGCAAAGAUAUCGAAAAUCCCAGCAAGAGGAGCAAGAACACGGGUUUGAGCUGCGAAACAAAUUUUUUCUGGAAGUAGGAAAGCAGAUGGGAGCAAGAGUGAGUGGAGGGGGUGCCUGUGGGCCCCACAAGCAUGGGUGGCGCGGCCAGGGGGGUGCCCGCGCCCCUAGGGCUUGUGGCCCACUGGUGUGGCCCCCAGACAGACUCUUUGUCCCAGUAUUUUUCAAAUAUUCCAGAAAAAAUCAUACUAGAUUUUCACAGCGUUCAGAGAACUUUUAUGUUCGGGGUAUUUUUCUACCGGACGGUAAAACAAAAAACAGAGAAAACUAAACUAAAUAUAUCAUUUUUCUUCUAAGCAACCGAAAGUGAAAGCUUGGAACGGAGGUUUGUGACUCCUUGAUUCAUCCAUCUCAUGGUCAUCGAAAGAAAUGUGUCAAUGGGGUUUAUCAAAUCCCCUCGACAAAACUUUCUCGAAUCGCAAAAGAAGACGGAGAAUUUUCGAAUCGUCACUAGGUCACCUCAAUGGGGAUGUGUAUCUCCCCAACAAGCAAAUCAUACUUCAUCUUGACACGAGGAAUAGGGCAUUCAAAGCUCCCAAUAAGAAUCGAUGAAGUUUUUUCGAUAGCAUUGAUGCAAUGUACUCGAUAUUGUUUCUUCGGAAAGUGCACCGUAUGCUCAUUACCGUUGACAUGGAAAGUGACAUUGACUUUGUUGCAAUCUAUAACAGCCCUUGCAGUGUUUAAAAAGGGUCUUCCGAGGAUGACAGCCAUGGCAUCUUCCUCGGGAAUAUCCAAGAUAACAAAGUCUGUUAAGAUAGUGGUGUUAGCAACCACAACAGGCACAUCCUUGCAAAUGCCGAUAGGGAAGGCAGCUGAUUUGUCGGCCAUUUGCAGAGAGAUUUUAGUGGGUGUCAACUUAUCCAGCUCAAGUCUACGAUAAAGAGAGAGAGGCAUAACACCAACACCGGCUCCAAGGUCGCAUAACGCAGUUCUAACAUAGUUGACUUUAAUGGAGCUUAUAGUGGGCACACCGGGAUCACCUAGUUUCUUAGGAGUUCCACCCUUGAAAGUGUAAUUAGCAAGCAUGGUGGAGAUCUCAAGAUCAGGUAUCCUCCUCUUAUUAGUCACAAUAUCUUUCAUGUACUUAGCAUACGGAGACAUUUUGAGCAUAUCUGUCAAAUGCAUCUGCAGAAAGACAGGUCUGAUCAUUUCAACGAAGUGCUCAAAAUCCUCAUCAUCCUUUUUCUUGGAUGGUUUGGGAGGAAAGGGCAUAGGUUUCUGAACCCAUGGUUCCCUUUCUUUACCAUGCUUCCUAGCAGUGAAGUCAUUCUUAUCGUAUCUCUUAGUCUUAGGCUGUGGGUUAUCAAGAUCAACAGGUUCAAUCUCCACAUCCUUUUCAUUGCUAGGUUGAGCAUCUUCAUGAACAUCACUAUUGAUAUCAUCAUUAGGCUCAUGUUUAUCACCAGAUUGUGUUUCAGCAUCAGAGAUAGAGGCACCGUUUGGACUCUCAGGGGUAGCAGCAACAGGUUUGCUAGCAUGAAGGUUCCUAUCAUCUCUCUUCUUUUUUUCUAGGAUGACUAGCUGCAUCAGUGCUAACUCCUUGAGACUCUUGUUCAACUCUCUUCGGAUGACCCUCAGGAUACAGAGAUUCCUCGGUCAUUCUACUGUCUCUAGUAACGACUCUGACGGCAUUGUCAUUCAACUCAUAGAGCAAGUCAUUCUGAGCUUUAAGUACUUGUUCUACCUGAGUAGUAACCAUAGAGGCAUGUUUACUCAGGAGCUUAAGAUUAUUUACAUUUCUAUCCACACAAGCACUUAAAUGAUUGAGCAUACGAGCAUUCUUUUCCAAUUGUCUGCUAACAUAAUCAUUGAAACUUUGUUGUUUGGCAACAAAGUUAUCAAAUUCGUCCUAGCAUAAGCUAGCAGGUUUAUCAAAAGGAAUAUCACUCUCAUCAAACCUACGCAGAGAAUUUACUUCUACUACCUGUAUCGGGUUAUCGAGACCAUGGAUCUCUUCGAUAGGUGGUAGAUUUUUGACAUCUUUAGAUUUAAUGCCUUUCUCUCGCAUAGAUUUCUUGGCUUCUUGCAUAUCUUCAGGACUGAGGAAUAGCAUACCUCUUUUCUUCGGAGUUGGCUUAGGAGGUGGUCCGGGAAUAGUCCAAGCAAUCUAAUUGCACAAGAUGUUGUUCAGUAGAAUCUCAGCUUGUUCUACGGUUCGUUCCCUAAAAACACUACCGGCACAACUAUCUAGGUGGUCUUUAGAAGCAUGGGUAAGUCCAUUAUAGAAGAUAUCAAGUAUCUCAUUCUUCUCAAGAGGGUGAUCAGGCAAAGCAUUCAGUAGCUGGAUAAGCCUCCCCCAAGCUUGUGGGAGACUCUCUUCUUCAGCUUGAGCAAAGUUGUAUAUUUCCUGCAAGGCAGCUUGCUUCUUAUGGGGAGGGAAAUAUUUUUCAAAGAAGUAGUAGACCAUAUCUUGGGGGCUACGCAAACAACCAGGAGCAAGAGAAGUGAACCAGGUCUUAGCAUCAUCCUUUAGCGAGAAAGGAAACAACUUGAGCAUAUAGUAGUGGCAGAUCUUUUCCUCACUAGAGAAUAGGGUGGCUAUAUCGUGCAGUUUGGUAAGAUGGGUUACAACCGUUUGAGACUCAUAACCGUGAAAAGGAUCAGAUUCGACUAUAGUAAUUAACUCAGGGUCGACAGAGAAUUCAUAAUCCUUAUCGGUCACAAAGAUAGGCGAAGUGGAAAACUUCGGGUCGUAUUUCAUCCUAGCGUUCAGAGAUUUUUCUUUCCACUUGCGCAGAAGUUUCUCGACAUCAUAGCUAUCCUUACACGCAAGAAAAUCCUGAGCUAUCUCUCCCUCCAUAACAUAGCGCGUAUGAGGCAUAACAGGCAAUUCAGGUAUAGUAGCAGGUUCUACUUCAAUAGUAUCAGCAGUUUCAGAAGUAUCAUCACAUCUAGCAGCAGCUCUAGCAAUUCGUGCAUCAAGGGCACCUAGUGGCAAAGCAGUAUCAAGCAUGGCAGGCACAGUAUCAAGCAUAGCAUCAUCAGGCAUAGUAUCAAACAUAGCAUCAUCAGGCAUAGUAUCAAGCAUACAAUCAUGAGGCAUAGUAUCAAGCAUAGCAUCAUCAGGCAUAGUAUCAAGCAUAGCAUCAUCAGGCAUAGUAUCAAGCAUAGCAUCAUGGACAUCAGAAGUAGGAUCAUCAAGCACAGGCGACAUAUCAAGAUUUCUAGCAGGAGGUGAAGUCGCAAACUUACUCAAAACUGAAGGUGAAUCAAGUGCAGAGCUAGAUGGCAGUUCCUUACCUCUCCUCGUAGUGGAAGGUAGGAUUUUAGUUCUUGGAUCUUUCUGAUUCCUCAUAGUGAUCAGCAUACGUCAAUCCCAAGUGACUCAGAGAAUAUAGCUAUGGUUCGCCGGCAACGGCGCCACAAAAAGCCUUGAUGUCCCACAAGCGUAUGGGAUCACAUCAAUUUUUGAGGGUAGAGUAUUCAACCCAAAUUUAUUGAUUCGACUCAAGGGGAAGCGAAAGAAUAUUCUCAAGUAUUAGCAGUUGAGUUGACAAUUCAACCACACUUGAAAGAUUAGUGUCUGUAAGCAAAGUAUUAGUAGCAAGGUAGUAUGAUAGCAACGGUGCCAGAAAAAAGCCUUGGUUGACGAGAUGUUAGUACCGCUUAGCUAGCCUCAGCAACGGCGCCAACAAAGUCUUGCAACAAGUAACAGCGGGGUAGCAAGGAAUAGUAGUAGCAGCAGCAACAAAGUAACAAGUAACAGCAGUAGCAACAGUAGCAGCAAAGUGGCCCAAUCCCUCUUGUAGCAAGGGACAAGCCUAGGCAAAGUAACGUAGCGAGAACCAGUAGUAAAAGACUCGUAGGCAGUGGAUCGGUGAUGGGUGAGUGUGACGGAUUUGAUUCAUCAUGUAACAGCUAUAACACGGAGAGAUAUGCGGCUAGCUCCCGUUCAUCAAUCUAAUGUAGGCAUGUAUUCCAUAUGUAGUCAUACGUGCUUAGGGAAAAGAACUUGCAUGGCAUCUAUUGUCCAUCCCUCCCGUGGCAGCGGGGUCCUAAUGGAAACUACAGGAUAUUAAGGUUCUCCUUUUAAUAAAGAACCGGACCAACGCAUUCACACGCGGUGAAUACAUGAACUCCUCAUACUAUGGUCAUCUCCAGGAGUGGUUCCGGCUAUUGUCACUCCGGGGUUGCCGGGUCAAAACACAUAGUAGGUGACUAUAACUUGCAAGAUAGGAUCUAAAAUACACAUAUAUUGGCGACAACAUAAUAGGUUCAGAUCUAAAAUCAUGGCACUCAGGCCCUAGUGACAAGCAUUAAGCAUAGCCAAGUAGUAGCAACAUCAAUCUAGAACAUAGUGGAUACUAGGGAUCAAUCCCCGUCAAGAACUGACUCGAUUAUCCCGUCCAGCAAGCCUACGAUGAGAUUACUCACGAACGAUGAAGAGAAUCAUAGAAUUGUCGAUGGAGAAAGGUUGAUGAUUACGAUGGCGACGAUUUCCCCUCUCGGAAGCCCGAAACGGACUCCAGAUCUGCCCUCCAGAUGAAGAACAGGAUGUGGCGGCGCCUCCGUAUCGCAAAACGCGAUGAAACCUUCUCUCUGAUUUUUUCCAGGUGAAACGGAAGAUAUAGAGCUGAGAUUGGGGGCGGUGGUGCCACGUGGGCCCUACAAGACUGCAUGGCGCGACCAUAGGGGGUGGCCGCGGCGUGUGGGCUUCUGGCCCACUCGCACGCCCCCUCCUGUGGAUCUUUGCGUAGGUAUUUUUCUUUUAUUCCAGAAAAAAUCUCCGUAAAUUUUCAGGACGUUCCGGGAACUUUCAUUUCUGCACAAAAACAACACCAUGGCAAUUCUGCUGAAAACAGCGUCAGUCCGGGUUAGUUCCAUUCAAAUCAUGCAAAUUAGAGUCCAAAACAAGGGCAAAAGAAUUCAGAAAAGUAGAUACGACGGAGACGUAUCACCCCCCGACGCCCUCCGAUGCCUCCCCCGCGGCCACCCCCUCCCCCACAACUCCGGACGACCCCUUCCCCAUCGCCCGCGCCACCCCGGGCCCCUUACCCACCACGGCGCCACCCCCUUCCCCACCGCGGCGCUACCCCCACCGUAAGUUCUUUUUUUUUUGCCUUUUUUCAUUUCAUUGCAUGUAUAUAUAUAUAUCAUUAGGUUAAUUUAGUUAGUUUAGGGCUCUGUUAGUGUUAGUUUAGAUCAAAUAGGUUAGUUUAGGGCUCUGUUAGUUUAGGUCAUUAGUUUAAUUUAGUUAGUUUAGUGCUAAAUAUGUUAUUGUUAGUUUAGGUUAAGUAGGUUAUUAGUGCAAAAAAGAAGAUUUUGGUUAGGUUUUGAUUUGGCAUAUAAAUGAUUUGACAUAUAAAUGAUUUAGGUUUUAGAGUAGAUUUGACAUAUAAAUGACAUAUAAAUGAUUUAGGUUUUAGAGUAGAUUUUACAUAUAAAUAAUGAUUUGACAUAUAAAUGGUUAAGGAUUUCCUUUUAUUGUUUUAAGUCUGCUACUCGUAUUUCCGUGUUAACAUUUUUGAACUAUUUGCAAAAGAUUGAUGAAUUUUGACAUUUGCAAAAGUUUGUUAUGUAUUUGCAAAUAAUUAGUAUAUAUAUUUAGACAAUGGAUUCUCUUAGUCCUUUAAUAAUAAAUGGAUUUAUCAAGAAUGCCACAUUAUGUAUGUGCACAAGUUGAUCCAAUUUUUUUCCUGAUCUCAUCUAUGUAACCUAGCUAGCUAGCUUCUAUAUGUCACGUUGUUUGUCAAAGUAUUGAAGAAAUCCAUGGCUUCAUCAUUACCUGGUAGUAAUAGACGCAUGAUGCUAUGAAGCUCUUGAAAGUUGUUUUGGAACGGAGUUCCUGAUAGGAUAAUUUUCUUUUUGGUACGAAGUCCAACAAAGUCCUUCCAAAUAGCGAUAUUUGGAUGGUUCUUUUUGAACUGCGUACCAAAAAGCUAAUUAUCCUAUUCGGGAUUCCGUUACAAAUCAACUUUGUAAAGCUUCAUAGCAUCAUGCGCCUAUUACUACCAGGUAAUGCUGAAGUCAUGGGUUUCUUGAAUCCUUUGACAGUAGACAAUGCGAUAUAUAGAAGGGUAGAUGAGAUCAGGAAAAAUAUGGAUCAUUUUCUGCACAUCCAGAAUAUCGCCAUUUUGUUAAAUCCCUUAAAGGUUAAGAGAAUCCGUUAGACAUAUUUUAGAGUAUAGAUUCACUCAUUUUUCUCCGUAUGUAGUUUUCUGGUGAAAUAUUUAAAAGGUCUUAUAUUUUGGAACGAAGGGAGUACAAGUUUAGAAAAGUUUAUUAAAUAGUAGUAAUUUAAAUAGUAGGACAUAUGAUGCCCGGCCCGCAUCCUCGUCGUCGACUCGGUGGCGACCACCUGCUUGAUAGGCGCCAGCAUAUGCGGGACUGGGCUCCGUCGGGCUGGCACUAGGAGGAGUUAUCUUCCGGGAUGCGUAGCUUGGUGAGGAACCGGGCUCCCGUCGUCGGCCCGGAGCUUCUUUGGUGGCAGUCGCGGGGGCCACUUUUCAUGCCUAGGGUGCCGACCCCCGAGGAGGAGGUACGUCGCCGUGUCAGGGAGGAGGACGAGCACGUCCAUCGCUACAUGGAGGCGUUGGAUGCCAGGUUCUCUAGUACCUGGAAGGUUCUUCAGGGAUCUAACCCGAGCUAUGAUCCGGUGAUGGUCCCUGCUCUUUGGGUGUCCAUCACCCGCGCCUUAGUACAACGACGGCUCUUUGUUGGUUGAUCAGUUAUAUAUUAUUCGAGAGAUGUAUUACUAUAUUCGAGAGAUGUAUUAUUUAUGUAUUCCAGAUUAUAUAUUCGAUAAUAUUAAGUGGAUUAUUGGAUGAUGCAUUAAUUAAGCGGAUUAUUCGAUGUAUAUAAGCGGGAGUUUUAGUUGUUAGUUAAUUUAGUUUUUUAUGUUUAAUUAAUUUGUAGAUACUAUGGAUCCAAUACACGACACAGACGAAUAACAUGAAGACGUGAUGCAUGGUGUCAUCCGCGGGGAUGAUAUUUUAGUUGGCGAUAUCGAUGUCACCAAUCAGUUUUUGAACGAGUCCAGCGAGGGAGAUGAGUCUCUCAACACAGGAGGUAGAAGCUCUGGUGAGGUAGAAGCCCACGCCUCGGGCCAGGGAGGAAUCGACGACUCCAAUGAGGAAGAAGCCGACGAGGGAGAAGUCGACCGCUCCGUGGAGGUGCAUAUAUAUAUAUAUUAAUAAAUUAAUCCUCUGCUAUAUACAUAUACUAACACUCUUUAUUUUAGCCCUCCGGAUCGAGCAAAACUUCAGUACAGACGAAACGAGGCCCAACCAAGAAGAUAGAUGACGGUGAGAGGUACAGGAACGAAAGAGUCUCAAAUAUCGGGCAACCAAUUGCUCCCACAGAUGUAAAGCAUAAGUUUGUGAAGGCAUGCAGAGUUGUUGUUAGGGACCACAUCCCGAUCACCACUCAAGAAUGGAUUAAGCCAAGGGAGGUAGGAGUCUCAUAUGUCGGCACAGCAGCCAAAGAAAACCUUUGGAGAAAGAUCAUGCUUCAUUUCACCCUGUCGGCGCCAGAGGUGGAUCCAGAUGAGGAGGAGCCAAGUGAGGAGGAAAUGAAGAGGAGAAAAGAGGCCUUAGAGAAAAAAGUCAAGGAGUGGGAUCUUAAGAAAAUGGCCGAUCUAUUCAUGGGCUAGAAAAAAAGAUUGCACCAGGAAUUUAUCUUGAAAGAUAAGACUCCAGAUUUCGAUAACGGCUAUGAUAAGAUAAAGACUACUGGGCCGAAUUUGUGGCGUACAAGAAAUCAGAGGAAGCCUUGAAAAAGUCUGCAAAAAAUAAGACGAAUGCACGUAAGAAGAAGUACCACCAUAUUAUGGGGCAUGGUGGCUACGGCGGUCACAUGGCUAAGUGGGAAGCACUUGAGGCAUCAUUUUUGAAGAAAAAAUCACUCCACAGCCCUUAAUAUGGCUCGAACGGGGAAGAAACUGGUUUUACGGGCAUGGGGGUUUGUUGGACGAACAAGGGAAAGCAAUAUAUAACCAAAGACACAAAGAUAAUCCCCUACCCAUCAAGGACAUUAGACGUGCAGUACAUGAUGUUGAAGAGGGAUGGUUCAUUCCCGAUAGAGAGAACGCCGAGCUCACACGCGCCCUUGGGAAUGAUGAACACAAAGGAAGAGCACGAGGCUUACCAGGCUCCCCGCCGUGGAUGCUUGCGUUUUCCGAGGAAAGGAAGAGAUUUCCCGAUAGAAGCCAUCAGAGGAGAAGGUAAAAGGAGGCAACUGAGAAAGCGGCUGAUGCAGACCAGCCGCAUAUUCUAGAAGAAGCAGUAAAGCGACUGCAACAUGAUCAAAUCGACAGACAACAAGGUAGCGGCCAAUCUCAGCGGCUCAUGAUAGAAGCUGCAUUGAUUCGAAAAAGCAGUGUCGCUUCCACGCAGCUCCAGGAUGAUGGUGAUGAUGCAGUGACGAUGGAUCCUCCUCGUCGCUGCCCAGUGGAUGAUAUCAUAGAGAGCACACCUUGUGAUCUAAAGGUGAAAGUUGCUAACUUAAGGUUGACGGUGGCGGUCGGCAUGGCCAUACCAAUUGGACAUAAUCCAACUGGGCAUUGCUCUCCGGUUCCAUAAGGGUACGCUGUCAUCGCGGUGGAUGAAGUGAUGAAAGGUUAUCAGGAGCUGAAGCUCGAACACCCUGCAUGUGAAGAUAGGGAUUUGACUCAACUUGGAGAAGUCAAGAAACAAACCGUUGUAUGGCCAAAGGAGGACAUCUUGCUUCCAAAUUGGACGCCAAGGCCACCGACUCCUCAGCGCAGCAAUCCUUCUUCGCCUCCACCUUACCAGUCUCCAACGCUAUCAUCGUCUUCGCUGCCUCACCACUCUCCAACGCAACCGUCGUCUUUGCCACGUCAUCAGUCUCCAGCACAGUCAACUCCACCGCCACAUCAGCCGUCUCCACCGCCCCGUCAGCCUUCUCCGUCCACUGAGGACCAGAGUAAAAAGCAGAACCAUAUCACCGCUAAUAGUGGAGGCAUAAAGGGGUUUCGACCACCAAAACAUAAGUUGUCGCCCCUCCCAAAAGUACCUCAUAAGGAUAUGGAGAAGAGACCUUGGGACUAUACUAGGGAGGAUAUUAUUAAGAGGACGGACGUCCAUCAUCAACAGUGGAUGGCUGACAAGGCUAACAAGAAGAAGCCGAAAGAGCUAGAGUUCCCGGUUACCCCAGAAGAUCACGCCGCGUGCGUGAAAAUGCUGAAAACCCUUGCAGAUCCCCCACCACUGUUGCCAGCAGACUAUGAACGCUCUAUUCUCAAGUCGGCUCAGGCAAAAAAGCAGUGGUUGAAGAGUAGUACGUCCAGUUGCGCAGCUCGGACAAUAGAAAAACCAAUCGUGCCCCCUGCUCAAAGUGUAUUCCGAUACAAAGGUGUGCUCGAGCGGAGCUGCGGUCGAGCAAAGGAAUGAUGAAACAGCUGGUAUCGAUCCGGAGUUUGUUGCACUAUACGGAGAAGCGAUCGAGGCUCAUGGCAUGUAUAUUGAUGAGUAGUUGAACCAUAUGCAGGAAUUCGCUGACAUAACAUACGUGUACCGGUACGGGCUCCUCUCGUCAAACCUGAGUUAGUCAAUGAUCUACCAACAAAAAUGCGAAGAUUGCAUGACUGGUACAUGCGAGCAUGUGCUGAACGGCAAAACCGGAUCUACUGUGCAUAUAAAGACGAGCAUUACGGGCAUGGAGAAUGUGUUCUAAUGAUUGAAUUCGACGAAUUAUUUCAGUUAUACAAACAAGAACCCUCGACAAAUCUAUCAUCAGUGCCUAUUGUUUGUAAGUAUUAUUAAUUUAUGUCAUUGAGUCUUACUCAGCUCGUUCUUGCAUGUAUAAUCUUACUCAUUGAUAACCCACAAGUAUAGGGGAUCGUAACAAUUUUCGAGGGUAGAGUAUUCAACCCAAAUUUGUUGAUUCGACAGAAGGGGAAGCCAAAGAAUAUUCUUGAGUAUUAGCAGUUGAGUUUUCCAUUCAACCACACCUGAAAGACUUAGUAUCUGCAUCAAAGUUUCAGUAACAGAGUAGUGAUAGUAACGAUAGCAGCGGUAACAAUAGCAGUUGUGACAACAGUAGCGGUAACAGUAGAAGCAGUGACAUCAGUAGCGGUAAAGUAACGUAGGAAGGACAAGUAGGAAAAGACUCGUAGGCAUUGGAUCGGUGAUGGAUAAUUAUGUCGGAUGACAUUCAUCAUGUAACAGUUAUAACAUGGGGUGAUUUGUAACUAGCUCCAGUUCGUCAAUGUAAUGUAGGCAUGUAUUCCGUAUAUAGUCAUACAUGCUUAUGGAAAAGAACAUGCAUGACAUCUAUCGUCCAUCCCUCCCAUGGCAGCGGGGUUUGCUACUUCUCAAACAACAGUGCCAAAAAUUGACAUGUUUACGGAGACUGGGCUUGCCUUGGUGUUUCCCUUGAAGAGGAAAGGGUGAUGCAGCACAUGAGCAAUAAGUAUUUCCCUCAGUUUGAGAACCAAGGUAUCGAUCCAGAAGGAGGUUCUCGUCAAGUCCAGAGUACCUGUGCAAACACAAAAGAUCUUGCACCCAACGCUUCAAAGGGGUUGUCAAUCCCUUCAAGAUUGUUUGCAAAGUGAGAUCUGAAGGCGGAAAGUGGAACGAAGUAAAAAGUGUAAGGCUGAAAAUAUGGUGUGGAGUAGACCAGGGGGCCAUAGUGUUCACUAGAGUCUUCUCUCGAAAUAGCAAAUAUCACGGUGGGUAAACAAAUUACUGUCGAGCAAUUGAUAGAACCGCGCAAAGUCAUGACCAUAUCUAAGGCAAUGAUCAUACAUAUAGGCAUCACGUCCGAGACAAGUAGACCGAUACUUUCUUCAUCUACUACUAUCACUCCACACAUUGACCGCUAUCCAGCAUGCAUCUAGUGUAUUGAGUUCAUGACGAACAGAGUAACGCCUUAAGCAAGAUGACAUGAUGUAGAGGGAUAAUCUCAAACCAAUGAUGAAAACCCCAUAUUUUUACCCUUGAUGGCAACAACACGACGCGUGCCUUGCUACCCCUUCUGUCACUGGGCGAGGUCACUGCACGGUAUGAACCCAAAACCAAGCACUUCUCCCAUUGCAAGAAUCAUAGAUCUAGUUGGCCAAACAAAACCCACAACUCGAAGAGAAUUACAAGGAUACGAAAUCAUGCAUAAGAGAGAUCAGAAGAAACUCAAAUAAGAUUCAUAGAUAAUCUAAUCAUAAAUCCACAAUUCAUCGGAUCUCGACAAACAGACCGCAAAAGAAGAUUACAUCGGAUAGAUCUCCAUGAAGAUCAUGGAGAACUUUGUAUUGAAGAUCCAAGAGAGAGAAGAAGCCAUCUAGAUACUAACUAUUGAACCGUAGGUCUAUGGUGAACUACUCACGCAUCAUCGGAGAGGUCAUGGUGUUGAUGAAGAAGCCCUCCGUGUCCGAAUCCCCCUCCGGCAGGGCACCAGAACGUGCCCCAGCUGGGAUCUUGCGGAGACAGAAGCUUGCGGUGGCGGAAAAGUGAUUUCGAUGAUCUCUUGUUUUUUGGGAUUUUUAGGGAAUAUAUGGGCGCAACCCCUAGGGCAAGGGCGCCCAGGGGGCCCACAAGCCUGUGGGCCACGACCUACCCCCUGGCCGCGGGGUGGGGGCUUGUGGGGCCCCUGAGGCUCCCCUGCCUUGGCUCCCAAGAUCCCCGAUCUUCUUCCGUUACAAAAAAAUCUUUUCGAGGAUUUUCUUCCGUUUGGACUCUGUUUCAAAAUCUCGUGUGAAAGUGGUCAAAAACAUGGAAAAAACAGGAACUGGCACUUGGCACUGAGUCAAUAAGUUAGUCCCAAAAAAUAUAUAAAAGGCAUGCAAAACAUCCAAAGCUUGACAAGAUAAUAGCACGAAACCAUCAAAAAUUAUAGAUACGUUGGAGGCGUAUCAAGCAUCCCCAAGCUUAACUCCUGCUCGUCCUCGAGUAGGGAAGUGAUAAAGAACGAAUUUUUGAUGUGGAAUGCUACCUAGCAUAGUUGUCCUUUGCAACUUAUUUCACGUGACAUGAAUGUUCAGAUCCGUAAGAUUCAAAACAAUAGUUUGCUAUUGACAUGAAAACAAUAAUACUCCAAGCAAACUAGCAAGGUAAUCAUGAACUUUCAAAAUAACAAGGCCAAGGAAAGUUAUCCCUACAAAAUCAUAUAGUCUGGCUAUGCUCCAUCAUCCUCACACAACUAAUGUAAAUCAUGCACAACCCCGGUAUGAUCCUCUCCCUAUAGUNNNNNNNNNNNNNNNNNNNNNNNNNNNNNNNNNNNNNNNNNNNNNNNNNNNNNNNNNNNNNNNNNNNNNNNNNNNNNNNNNNNNNNNNNNNNNNNNNNNNGAGAACGCGGCACGAGAGGCAGGGCAGCGCGCUGCCUUUUAUGGCACGCGCGGGACGCGGCGCCGCAAAAAUGACGCACGGGCUGCCGCCUUUUCGCGCGCGCUAGCGGUUCCCUCGCGCGCGGUUUUUUCCCGCCGCCGCUGGAGCGCGCAUUUCAGUCCCGCGCGCGGUAAACUGGCGUUUUUUAGCGUGCGCGGCUUUUUGCGCGCCUGUUGGAGAUGCUCUAAGCCAUGCAGGCAGAGAUUAUAAAACAAGCUGUGCACUGCAGCCCUGCAGGACUCGGCCGGCAAGGCGCCAAGCUGGAGUCUUGCUCCCGAGCUGGCCCGCCAUCUCGGGUUUUUGUUCGGACGUCCACGGUCUGGUCCCGGUUGAAGCGUGCAGCCACCCACGCCGGAGAUUCUAGUUUGGAUACAUCGACGUCGUGGACUGGCUUGGCUAUGUGUGUGUGUGCGCGCGCGUGGUGGUUCUCCUUUGGUCGUCAGUCGUCACUGUCUUGUCAUCGCAAUCAUAGGUUGAUGCACUGCAUGUANNNNNNNNUUGUUUNNNNNNNNNNNNNNNNNNNNNNNNNNNNNNNNNNNNNNNNNNNNNNNNNNNNNNNNNNNNNNNNNNNNNNNNNNNNNNNNNNNNNNNNNNNNNNNNNNNNAAGUAAUUGUUUUCACACUCUUACUUUUUUAAACUUUUUAUAACUAUCACGCAAUACAUGAGCGCGAGCCAUGGAUAUAGCACUAUAAGUGGAAUAGAGUGUGGUGGUGGUUGUGAGACAAAAAGGAAGAGAUGGUCACAUUGACUCGGCGUAUCAAAGGGCAAUGGAGAUGCCCAUUAAUAGAUAUCAAUGUGAAUGAGUAGGGAUUCCCAUACAAGAUAUGCACUAGAGCUAUAAGUAUGUGAAAGCUCAAAAGGGAAACUAGUGGGUGUGCAUCCAACUUGCUUGCUCACGAAGACCUAGGGCAAUUUUGAGGAAGCCCAUCAUUGGAAUAUACAAGCCAAGUUAUAUAAUGAAGAUUCCCACUAGCAUAUGGUAGUGACAAAGCAAGAAGCUCUCAAUCAUGAAGAACAUGGUGCUAUAAUGAAGCACAAGUAUGGAAAAAGAUAGUAGCAUUGUCCCUUCUCUCUUUUUCUCUCUUUUUUCAUUUGGGCUCUUAGGCCUCUUUUUUACUUUACUUUUCUGGGGGGGGGGGGGGGGGGUGUUUUUGUUUUUGGGCUCUUUGGACUCUCUUUUUUUAUUUCCUCACAUGGGAAAAUGCUCUAAUAAUGAUGAUCAUCACACUUCUAUUUACUCACAGCUCAAAAUGAUGAUGACUCUAAAGGAAAUGCCUCCGGCAGUAUACCGGGAUGCGCAACAAUCUAUCAUGGCGUAUGACGUUGAAAACAUCUCGCUAGCUAUCUUACGAUCAUGCAAUGGCAAUAUGAGAGUGACGACACAAGUCAUGAGACGGAACGGUGGGAGUUGCAUGGCAAUAUAUCUCGGAAUGGCUAUAAAAUGCCAUAGUAGGUAGGUAUGGUGGCUGUUUUAAGGAAGGCAUAUGGUGGGUUUGUGUACCAGCGAGAAUUGCGCGGCACUAAAGAGGCUAGCAAUGGUGGAAGGUGAAAGUGCAUCUAUACCAUGGACUCACAUUAGUCUUGAAGAACUCACAUACUUGUUGCGAAAGUUUUUAUUAGUAAUCAAAACAAAGUGCUAAACGCAUACUCCUAGGGGAAGGGUUGGUAGGUGUUAACCAUCGCGCGAUCCCGAACACAACACAAAGGUGACAAUCAAUAGAUCAAUUAUGCUCCGACUUCCUAACAUAGCAGUUCACCAUAUGUGCAUCCUACGGGAAUCACUAACUUCAACACAAGUAUCUCUAGAUUCACAAUACCCUACUAACAUAGCUCUCAAUAUUACCGAAUCCACGUCUCAAAACUAAUUGAGAGGAAUGAAAACUUCUCUUUCUACUCAAUGCACAUGAAGAUGGAGGUUUUUGCAUCCUCUUUGGGUACCUAUCACAUUUGGGACUACUUUCAUAGCAUAAGCCAACUACCAAAUCACGCACCGCCGUGCUCUAAAAGAUAUAAGUGAAGCACUAGAGCAAAAGUAUCUAGCUCAAAAGAUAUAAGUGAAGCACUAUAAGCAUUCUAGCAAAAUCACGAUGAGUGCAUGUCUCUCUCUCUCAAAAAUGUGUGCAGCAAGGAUGAUUGUGACACAACAAAAAGAAAAGACGCCUACGAUACAAGACGCUCCAAGAAAAACACAUAUCAUGUGGUGAAUAACAAUAUAGCUCCAAGUAAUGUUACCGAUGGAUUGAAGACAAAAGAGGGGAUGCCUUCCCGGGGCAUCCCCAAGCUUAGUCUUUUUGGUGUCCUUGAAUUAGGCUUGGGAUGCCUUGGGCAUCCCCAAGCUUGAGCUCUUUCUACUCCUUAUCUCAUCGUCCAUGAGAACAUCACCCAAAACUUGAAAACUUCACAACACAAAACUUAAACAGAAACUCGUGAUAACAUUAGCACAAGAAAACAAACUACCACUUCUUUUGGUACUGUAGAAAACUUGAAUUCUAUCUUUAUUGGUGUUGGGCUACUGUAUUCUCACUUUUCUAUGGCUAUUACCCCCCGAUACUAACCAUAGUUUCAUCAAAACAAGCAACCAACUCAACAAAAACAGAAUCUGUCAAAAACAGACCAGCCUGUAGCACUCUGUAUACUUCGUAUACUUCUGUUACCUUCAAAAAUCUGAAAAAUUAAGACUGCUUGGGAAAAAGGCAUAUCAACCGGCAGAAAAAAGAAUCGACUCAAAAUCUCUUUCUGAAUAAAAAUGAAAAAUCAUCUCGUGAGCAAAAAGUUUCUGUCUUUUUCCAGCACGAUCAAACAACCAUCACCAAGACUAGUCAUAAAGGUUUUGCUUGGCUCAAACACAAAAAGAAACACAAAAACACAAUCACAACAGAAUUAUGAUGGUGUGGACGCAACAAAACAGAAAGAAAAAGAUAAAUUCUUUGGGUUGCCUCCCAACAAGCGCUAUUGUUUAACACCCUUAGCUAGGCAUUGAUAUUUCAAUGAUGCUCACAUAAAAGAUAGCAAUCGGACAUGAAGAGAGCAUCAUGAAACAUGUGAAAAUCACAUCUAAGUCUAACGUACUUCCUAUGCAUAGGCAUUUUAUAGGAAAAAAAAUUAUCAAAACAACCAAUAGCUGCCAUAUGCAAGGAAGAAGAAAGAGACAAUAGCAAUCUCCACAUAACGAGAGGUAAUUUGGUUACAUGAAAGUUUCUACCACAAUAUUUUCCUCUCUCAUAGCAAUUACAUGUGGGAUCAUAUUCGAAUUCAACAAUGUAACUAUCACAUAGGAUAUUCUUUUUAUGAUCCACAUGCAUGCAAAGUUGACGCUCUUCAAAAAUAGUGGGAUUAUCAUCAAUUAAAGUCAUGACUUCUCCAAACCCACUUUCAAUAAUAUUGCAAAUAUCAUAUUCAUCAUGAGGCUUAAACAAAUUUUCAAGAUCAUAAGAAAAAUCAUCGCCCUAGUCAUGAUCAUUGCAACAAGUAGUGGACAUAGCAAAACUAGCAUCCCCAAGCUUAGGGUUUUGCAUAUUUUUAGCAUUAUUGUCACUAAUAGAAUUUAUAGUGAAACCAUUGCAAUCAUGCUUUUCAUCCAAGGAGCCCUCGUGAAUCACUUCAUAAAUUUCUUCCUCACAAUUUUCAGAUUCACGCAUCUCAAGUAAAACUCCAUAAAGAUAGUCAAGUGCACUCAACUCACUAGUAAUUGGAUCAACAUAAUUGGAUCUCUUAAAGAGAUUAGCAAGUGUAUGAGGAUCCAUAUCACUAGAUUUUCAGCAAGCGAAGAUGCAAGCAUAUUGAAGGAACAUGGCACACAAGCGAACAGAAAGCAAGCGAGAGAAAAGGGCGAACGAAAAAGGCAAACGGAAAAGGCAAACGAAAAUGGCAAGUUGGUGAAGUGGGGGAGAGGAAAACGAGAGGCAACUGGCAAACAAAGUAAAUGCAAGAGAUGAGUUUGCGACACCUACUUGGAUGAGUUCUUGACUUGAUCUUCCUCCCCGGCAACGGAGCCAGAAAUCCUUCUGCUACUUCUCAAACAACAGCGCCAAAAAUUGACACGUUGACGGAGACUGGGCUUGCAUUGUUUUUCCCUUGAAGAGGAAAGGGUGAUGCAGCACAGAUGCAGUAAGUAUUUCCCUCAGUUUGAGAACCAAGGUAUCGAUCCAGAAGGAGGGUCUCGUCAAGUCCAGAGUACGUGCACAAACACAAAAGAGCUUGCACCCAACGCUUCAAAGGGGUUGUCAAUCCUUCAAGAUUGUUUGCAAAGUGAGAUCUGAAGGCGGAAAGUGCAACGAAGUAAAAAGUGUAAGACUCAAAAUAUGGUUUGGAGUAGACCCGGGGGCCAUAGUGUUCACUAGAGGCUUCUCUCAAAAUAGCAAAUAUCACGAUGGGUAAACAAAUUACUGUCGAGCAAUUGAUAGAACCGCGCAAAGUCAUGACGAUAUCUAAGGCAAUGAUCAUACAUAUAGGCAUCACGUCCGAGACAAGUAGACCGAUACUUUCUGCAUCUACUACUAUUACUCCACACAUCGAUCGCUAUCCAGCAUGCAUCUAGUGUAUUGAGUUCAUGACGAACAGAGUAACGCCUUAAGCAAGAUGACAUGAUGUAGAGGGAUAAUCUCAAACCAAUGAUGAAAACCCCAUAUUUUUACCCUUGAUGGCAACAACACGAUGCGUGCCUUGCUACCCCUUCUGUCACUGGGUGAGGUCACCGCAUGGUAUGAACCCAAAACCAAGCACUUCUCCCAUUGCAAGAAUCAUAGAUCUAGUUGGCCAAACAAAACCCACAACUCGAAGAGAAUUACAAGGAUACGAAAUCAUGCAUAAGAGAGAUCAGAAGAAACUCAAAUAAGAUUCAUAGAUAAUCUAAUCAUAAAUCCACAAUUCAUCGGAUCUCGACAAACAGACCGCAAAAGAAGAUUACAUCGGAUAGAUCUCCAUGAAGAUCAUGGAGAACUUUGUAUUGAAGAUCCAAGAGAGAGAAGAAGCCAUCUAGAUACUAACUAUUGAACCGUAGGUCUAUGGUGAACUACUCACGCAUCAUCGGAGAGGUCACCGUGUUGAUGAAGAAGCUCUCCGUGUCCGAAUCCCCCCUCCGGCAGGGCACCAGAAUGUGCCCCAGAUGGGAUCUUGCGGAAACAGAAGCUUGCGGCGGCGGAAAAGUGAUUUCGAUGAUCUCCUGAUUUUUUUGGGAUUUUUAGGGAAUAUAUAGGCGCAACCCCUGGGGCAGAGGGCGCCCACAAGCCUGUGGGCCGUGGCCUACCCCCUGGCCGCGGGGUGGCGGCUUGUGGGGCCCCUGAGGCUCCCCUACCUUGCUCCCAAGCUCCCCGAUCUUCUUCCGUUACGAAAAAAAUCUUUUCGGGGAUUUUCUUCCGUUUGGACUCUGUUUCAAAAUCUCCUCUGAAAGGGGUAAAAAACAUGGAAAAAACAGGAACUGGCACUUGGCACUGAGUCAAUAAGUUAGUCCCAAAAAAUAUAUAAAAGGCAUGCAAAACAUCCAAAGUUUGACAAGAUAAUAGCAUGAAACCAUCAAAAAUUAUAGAUACGUUGGAGACGUAUCAGGGUCCUAAUGGAAACUUAGGGAUAUUAAGGUCUCCUAUUAAUAGAGAACUGGAACAAAGCAUUAGCGCAUAGUGAAUACAUGAACUCCUCAUACUAUGGUCAUCUCUGGGAGUGGUUCCGGCUAUUGUCACUCCGGGGUUGCCGGGUCAUAACAAAUAGUAGGUGACUACAACUUGCAAGAUAGGAUCAAUAACACACAUAUAUUGAUGAAAACAUAAUAGGUUCAGAUCUGAAAUCAUGGCACUCGGGCCCUAGUGACAAGCAUUAAGCAUGGCAAAGUAGUAGCAACAUCAAUCUCAGAACAUAGUGGAUACUAGGGAUCGAACCCCAUCAAAACUAACUCGAUUACAUGAUAGGCCUCAUCCAACCCAUCACAGUCCAGCAAGCCUACGAUGAGAUUACUCACGAAUGGUGAAGAAAAUCAUGGAAUUGGCAAUGAAGGAUGGUUGAUGAUGACGACGGCGUCGAUCUCCCCUCUCCGGAGCCUAGAACGGACUCCAGAUCUUCCCUCCAGAGGAAGAACAAGUGGCGGCGGUGGCUCCGUGUCGUAAAACAUGAUGAACUCUUAUCUCCUAAUUUUUUCUGGGCGAAAGAGACUAUAUAGAGCUCGAGUUGGAGGCGGUGGAGUUACGAGGGCCUCACAAGCCUGCCAGGCGCGGCCAGGGGGGCCCGCGCCUCCAGGGCUUGUCGGCUCCUCGCUUCGUCCCUCCAGGUAAUUCUUGCGCCAGUAUUUUUUAUAUAUUCCACGAAAAAUCCUUGUAAAUUUCCAGGUCAUUCCGAGAACUUUUAUUUCUGCGCAAAAACAACACAAUGGCAAUUCUGCUGAAAACAACGUCAGUCCGGGUUGGGUCCAUUCAAAUCAUGCAAAUUAGAGUCCAAAACAAGCGCAAAAGAGUUUGGAAAAGUAGAUACGAUGGAGACGUAUCAACUCCCCCAAGCUUAAAGCCUUGCUUGUCCUCAAGCAAUUCAGUUGACAAACUAGAAGGGACAAAAGAAAAACUUUUACGAACUUUGUUUGAUCUUGUUGUUGUAAUUAUGUCUAACUCAUAUUCAGAUUUUCAGCAAGAUCAUAAGCUAACCACAUAAGCAAUGACAUUUAGGUCUCAUGGUAAACUCAUAUCAAUGGAAAAAUUAACUAGGGAGCAAUAAUAAUAAGUUUCAAACGUCAACACUUCAAUCAAAACAAACAUGAAGCAAUAUUUACAGAUGGUAUCUCGCUAGCUCUUUGUGAGACCGCAAAACAUAAAUGCAGAGCACCUUCAUAGACCAAGAGUUGACUGAACAUUAUAAUUCAUGGCAAAGAAGAUCCAGUCACAGCCAUACUCAAUAACAAUUAAAAGCAAAGCAUAAAAAUGACGGAGGUGCUCUAUAAUUGGUGCCUUUACAAGGAGAGGAUGACUCAACAUAAACAUAAAUAGAUAGGCCCUUCGCAGAGGGAAGCAUUGAUUUGCAGAGGUGCCAGAGCUCAAGCUUUUAAAACAGAGAUAAAUAAUUUUGGGUGGCUUGCUUUCAUUGUCAACGCGAUGACCAAGAGUUUUCACGAUCUUCCAUGCUACACAUAUUAUAGGCGGUUCCCAAACAGAAAAGUAAAGUUUUGACUCCCCCACCACCAAUCAAUCACACUCCACGACUAGCCGAAUCCUCGGGUGCCGUCCAUACCAACAACAAUCCAGGGGGAGUUUUGUUUGCAAUUAUCUUUUCGAUUUGAGCAUGGAACAGGGCAUUCCAAUUACCCGCCCAUUUCUCGUGAGUGAUAGUGAAUAAACAUGUAUCGAGGAUAACACGCCUAGCAUGGAAGAUACUGACCGCCCCUUGUCACCACAUGAACGGUUCAUGCAUGCAAAACAGAUUAUUACUUGAAGGUUUAGAGAGCGGCACAUGCAAAUUUACUUGGAACGACAGGUAUAUACCGCAUAUAGGUAGGUAUGGUGGACUCAUAUGGAACAACUUCGGGUUUAUGGAAGUGGAUGCACAAGAAGUAUUCCCGCUUAGUACAAGUGAAGGCUAGCAAAAGGCUGGGAAGCGAUCAACUAGAGAGCGACAACAGUCAUCAAUAUGCAUUGAAAAUUAACCAACAUUGAGUGCAAGCAUGAGUAGGACAUAAAUCACCAUAAACAUGAAUUUCAUAGAGGCUAUGUUGAUUUUGUUUCAACUACAUGUGUAAACAUGCGCCAAGUCAAGACACUUGAAUCAUUCAAAGGAGGAUACCAUCCUAUCAUACUACAUCAUAAUCAUCUUGAAAUUCAUGUUGGCAUCCAAUACAAACCAUUAUAAGCUCCUAGCUAAUUAAGCAUGGCAUCAGAAACUAUGAUCUCUAAGUUGUCAUUACAAACAUGUUUCUCUCAUAACAAUGCUGAAUUAGGAACGAUGACCUAGUCAUAUUGACAAAAACAAAAUAGGUCGAGUUCAUACCAGCUUUUACAGGCUCAGUCACUUCAUCAUAUAUCGUCAUUAUUGUCUUUAACUUGCACGAACGAAUGCUGUUAAUAAUAUUGAGAGUGUUCGUGCAUUGGACUAAGCUGGAAUCUGCAAGCAAACACAGAGGAGAAGACAAAGCAAUAUGGCUCUUUGACGGAUAAACAAAUAUCCAUGUGAGAGCCACUAAACGUUUUAAUCAUGGUCUUCUACCUUGACCCAAAGAAAAAGAAAACCAUUUACACGGGGAAAGCUCUCAACAAGCAAAAUAAGAACAAUAAAUCUUUUUGGGUUUUCUUUUUAAACACCACUAAGCAAGCUGGAGAGUAAACUUACAACUAAUAAUAAUUUUGUUUUUGUUUUUCUCAGUCUAAACAAACACAAGAGAAGAAAGCGAGAAAAAGAAAUAAACUAGCAUGGAAGAUACAGUGGCAAGGUGUGAACACCGACUAUAAAAGUGAAUGUGUGAGCAUGUAUAUAAAGUCGGUGAGAAACACGUACUCCCCCAAGCUUAGGCUUUUGGCCUAAGUUGAUCUACUCCCAUGGCUGGUCCGGGCGAUAUCCAGAAUCAUAAUGGGGGUUGUACGGGAACGCGGCAGCUACCGCGUGAGUAGGUGCCUCACGGAGGCGAGCAACCUUUUCCUCCCUCUCAUACUCCUCUGCCUCUCCUCUGGUUAUGUAAUAUCUCCGUUUUACCUGAAAGUCAAAGAAGGCAGGAGCAGGAAGGGUAAUAUGGAAAACAUGUUGUCGAUUAAAUAUUAACCGGUAUAGGAGGGAUUCAUUAUCCCUCUCAAAGAAGUGAUAACGUGUCAUAGCGGCGCGAUCAAGGAAAGCUGUAUGGAGAGGGGGAUCUAUUUCGCGGAUGGGUACUCCAAGAAAAUUUGCUAUGCGAGUAGCAUAGAUCCCACCAAAGAAAUCCCCUUCAUUUGCAUUAUUAUUUAGCCUCCUCACGAUUAUAGCUCCCAUGUUGAAACUUCUAUCACCCAUUACUUCUCUCUUAAGAAUACUAAGGUCAGGUGCGCAGAGGUGACAAUGCUCAAUCUUGUUGUUAAUGCAUCUACCUAUGAAGAGGGCAAAGUAAUGCAACGCAGGAAAAUGAAUGCUCCCAUGGUAGCCUGCGUAAUAUCUCUAGUUUCUCCAACAGUUAUACUAGAGAUAAAAUCUCUAACCGAAGACUUAGGAGGAUCAUUGAGACUACCCCAAUCAGGUAUCUUGCAAAUUCUAUUGAAAUCCUCUAAAUCCAUGGUAUACGAUUUGUCAUAAAGAUCAAACAAUAUAGAUGUGUCACGGCCAACUGAAAAUUUAAAUCUACGAAGAAAAGAGGCAGUGAGAGUACUAUAAUGUUCACAUUUAUGGGAGAUGAAUUCUUCGAGCCCGGCGUUGUGAAAAAAUGUAUCAAACUCGUCUUUGAAACCUGCAUCAAUCAUGAAUUCAUCAGAAGGCCAUUCACAUGGUUGUACCUGUGCGUUCCUCGGUUGAUAAGGAUUGGGCUCCCGAAUCGCGAGACGGGGACCCCUCUUGCUUGGAGAACCACCAUGAUAGUUUCUCCUGAACAUCUUAUUUUUUUGAAAUUUUUAGUGACUCAAAAGUAAAAUGAACAAGGCUCAACAAAACUCAUAGCAACUACUCCUACAAGUGCCUAGAGGCCAUAUCAUGCAACAAAACUACUUGGGACCAACUAAAAUUAACAUGCAAAGCUCAAGAACAGGGUCACCAAGGCAGCAAUAAUAUGUAACAAAUAAAGCACUAGAGCAAAAACUAAUUGGACCAAUGGAGGAGUCACAUACCAAGGAACAAUUCCCCAAAACAGUUUGGUGAAUGGGGCUUUGCACAAGGAGAUCGAAAAACGCAGCAAGUAGAGCAAAAAACACGGGUUUGAGCUGUGGAAUGAUUUUUUUCUGGAGGUAGGAGAAGGAGAUAGGAGCUCGAAUAAGUGGAGGGGGCCACGUGGGACCCACAAGCCUGCGAGGCGCGUCCAGGGGGGUGCCCGCGCCUCCUGAGCUUGUAGCCCACUAGUGCAUCCCCCUGACUAGCUCUCUAUCUCAGAAUUUUUCCAAUAUUCCAGAAAAAAUCAUACUUGAAUUUCAGGGCAUUCGAAGAACUUUUAUUUUCAGGACACUUUUCUAUGGGACGGAAAAAACAGAAAACAGGAAAAACUAAAGCUAAAUUUAUCAUUUUUCUUCUAAACAACAAAAAGUAAAAGUUGGGAGCAGAAGGUUGUGACUCUUAGAUUCAUCCAUCUCAUGGUCAUCAAAAGAAAUCCGUCAAUGAGGUUGAUCAAGUCUCCUUGACAAACUUUUUUCGAAUCACAUAAAACCGGAGAACUUUUGAAUAAUCACUAGGUUACCUCAAUGGGGAUGUGCAUAUCCCCAACAAGUAAAUCAUACUUCAUCUUGACAAUAGGUAUAGGGCAUUCAAAGCUCCCAAUAAGAAUUGAUGAAGUUUUUUCAAUAGCAUUGAUACAAUGAACUCGACAUUGUUUCUUCGGAAAGUGCACCGUAUGCUCGUUACCAUUAACAUGGAAAGUGACAUUGCCUUUGUUGCAAUCAAUAACUGCCCCUGCAGUGUUUAAAAAGGGUCUUCCAAGGAUGACCGCCAUGGCAUUAUCCUCGGGAAUAUCCAGAAUAACAAAGUCCGUUAAGAUAGUAACGUUAGCAACCACAACAGGCACAUCCUCACAAAUGCCGAUAGGAAAACCAGUUGAUUUGUCGGCCAUUUGCAAAGACAUUUCAGUAGGCGUCAACUUAUCCAAUUCAAGUCUACGACAUAAAGAGAGAGGCAUAACACUAACACCGGCUCCAAGAUCGCAUAAAGCAGUUCUAACAUAAUUUCUUUUAAUGGAGCAAGGUAUAGUGGGCACUCCGGGAUCACCUAGUUUCUUAGGAGUUCCACCCUUGAAGGUGUAAUUAGCGAGCAUGGUGGAAAUCUCAACCUCAGGUAUCCUCCUUUUAUUAGUCAAAUAUCUUUCAUGUACUUAGCAUAAGGAGACAUUUUGAGCAUAUCUGUCAAACGCAUUUGCAAAAAGACAGGUCUAAUCAUUUCAACAAAGCGCUCAAAAUCCUCAUCAUCCUUUUUCUUGGAUGGUUUGGGAGGAAAGGGCAUGGGUUUCUGAACCCAUGGUUCUCUUUCUUUACCAUGCUUCCUAGCAAUAAAGUCGUUCUUAUCAUAUCUCCUAUUCUUAGGUUGUGACUUAUCAAGAUCAACAUGUUCAAUCUCCACAUCCUUAUCAUUGCUAGGUUGAUCAUCAACAUGAACACCACUAUCAAUAUUAUCACUAGGCUCAUGUUCAUCACCAGAUUGUGUUUUGGCAUCAGAAACAAAGACAUCAUUUGGAUUCUUGGGUGUAAUAGCAACAGGUUUGCUAGCGUUCAAGUUGCUAUCAUCUUAUUUUUUCCUAAUACCAGGAUGACUAGGUGCAUCAGUUCUAACUCCUUGAGAAUAUUGUUCAAUUCUCUUCGGAUGACCCUCAGGAGACAAAGGUUCCUGGGUCAUUCUACCACCUCUAGUGAAAACUCUAACAGACUUGUCAUUCAACUCAUUGAGCAAGUCAUUUUGAGCCUGAAGUACUUGUUCUACUUGAGUAGUGACCAUAGAGGCAUGUUUCCUCAAAAGUUUAAGAUCAUUGACAUUUCUAUCCACACAAGCACUUAUAUGAUCAACCAUACUAGCAUUUUGUCUCAAUUGUCUGCUAACAUAAUCAUUGAAUCUUUGUUGUUUGGCAACAAAGUUAUCAAAUUCAUCUAAGCAUAUGCUAGCAGGUUUAUCAUAAGGAAUAUCACUCUCAUUGAAUCUACAAAGAGAAUUUACCUCUACUACCUGUCUCGGGUUAUCAAGACCAUGUAUUUCUUUGAUAGGUGGUAGAUUCUUAACAUCUUCAGAUUUAAUGCCUUUCUCUUGCAUAGAUUUCUUGGCUUCUUGCAUAUCUUCAGGACUGAGGAAUAGAAUACCUCUUUUCUUCGGAGUUGGCUUAGGAGGUGGUUCGGGAAUAGUCCAAGCAUUAUCAUUGCUCAAGAUAUUAUUCAAUAGAAUUUCAGCUUGUUCCACAGUUCGUUCCCUGAAAACACAACCAACACAACUAUCUAGGUGGUCCCUAGAAGCAUCGGUUAGUCCAUUACAAAAGAUAUCAAGUAUUUCAUUUUUCUCAAGAGGGUGAUCAGGCACAGAAUUAAGUAGCCGAACAAGUCUCCCCCAAGAUUGUGGGAGACUCUCUCCUUCAACUUGCACAAAGUUAUAUAUAUCCUGGAAGGCAGCUUGUUUCUUAUGGGCAGGAUUUUUUUUUCCAGAGAAGUAAUAAAUCAUAUCCUGGGGACUACGCACACAACCAGGAGCAAGAGAAGUGAACCAAGUCUUAGCAUCACCCUUUAGUGACAAAGGAAACAACUUAAGGAUAUAGUAAUGUCGAAUCUUUUCCUCAUUCGUGAAUAUGGUGGCUAUAUCGUGCAGUUUGGUAAGAUGUGCUACAACCGUUUCAGACGCAUAACCAUGAAAAUGAUCAGAUUCGACCAAAGUGAUUAACUCAGGGUCGACAGANNNNNNNNNNNNNNNNNNNNNNNNNNNNNNNNNNNNNNNNNNNNNNNNNNNNNNNNNNNNNNNNNNNNNNNNNNNNNNNNNNNNNNNNNNNNNNNNNNNNGUGGGCAAGCCCAGAGAGGCCCCUGUGCAGGGAGAUAGAAAAUCAAAGGAGAAAAAGAGGGGAAGUGGGAAGGAAGGGAAGGACUCCACCUUCCAAUCCUAGUUGGAUUAGGAUUAGAGGAGGAAUCCUCCUCCCCCCCUUCAGCCGAACCCCUUGGGGCCUCUUGAGCACCAAGGCAAGGCUCCUCCCCUUCCCACCUAUAUAUACGGAGGUUUUAGGGCUGAUUUGAGACAACUUUUCCACGGCAGCCCGACCACAUACCUCCACGGUUUUUCCUCUAGACCGCGUUUCUGCGGAGCUCGGGUGGAGCCCUGCUGAGAUUAGAUCACCACCAACCUCCGGAGCGCCGUCACGCUGCCAGAGAACUCAUCUACCUCUCCGUCUCUCUUGCUGGAUCAAGAAGGCUGAGAUCAUCGUCGAGCUGUACGUGUGCUGAACGCGGAGGUGCCGUCCGUUCGGCACUAGAUCGGAGCGGAUCAUAGGACGGAUCGCGGGACGGUUCGUGGGACGGUUCGCGGGGCGGAUCGAGGGAUGUGAGGAUGUUCUACUACAUCAACCGCGUUUAUUAACGCUUCUGCUGUGCGAUCUACAAGGGUACGUAGAUCUGAAAUCCCCCUCGUAGAUGGACAUCUCCAUGAUAGGUCUUUGUGCGCGUAGGAAAUNNNNNNNNNNNNNNNNNNNNNNNNNNNNNNNNNNNNNNNNNNNNNNNNNNNNNNNNNNNNNNNNNNNNNNNNNNNNNNNNNNNNNNNNNNNNNNNNNNNNGGGGGGGGGGCAGCCCACCCCGGGGAAGCCCAUAGGCCUUAGGGGUUCCGCACCAGCCCUUAGUGGGCUGGUGGGCAAGCCCAAAGAGGCCCCUACGCAGGGAGAUAGAAAAUCAAAGGAGAAAAAGAAAGGGGAAGUGGGAAGGAAGGGAAGGACUCCACCUUCCAAUCCUAGUUGGACUAGGAUUGGAGGAGGAAUCCUCCUCCCCCCUUUGGCCGAACCCUUGGGGCCUCUUGGGCCCCAAGGCAAGGCUCCUCCCCUCCCACCUAUAUAUACAGAGGUUUUAGGGCUGAUUUGAGACAAAUUUUCCACGGCAGCACGACCACAUACCUCCACGGUUUUUCCUCUAGGUCGCGUUUCUGCGGAGCUCGGGCGGAGCCCUGCUGAGAUUAGAUCACCAUCAACCUCUGGAGCGCCGUCACGCUGCCGGAGAACUCAUCUACCUCUCCGUCUCUCUUGCUGGAUCAAGAAGGCCGAGAUCAUCGUCGAGCUGUACGUGUGCUGAACGCGGAGGUGCCGUCCGUUCGGCACUAGAUCGGAGCGGAUCGUGGGACGGAUCGCGGGACGGUUUGUGGCACGGUUCGCGGGGCGGAUCGAGGGACGUGAGGAUGUUCCACUACAUCAACCGCGUUUAUUAACGCUUCUGCUGUGCAAUCUACAAGGGUACGUAGAUCGGAAAUCCCCCUCAUAGAUGGACAUCUCCAUGAUAGGUCUUCGUGCGCGUAGGAAAUUUUUUGUUUCCCAUGCUACGUUCCCCAACAAAAAGUGCCCAAAACAAAUAAAUGCGAAAAUAGGGGCAGCAAAAUAGCCCCAUCCAAUUGAGUGCAAAACCCUAAACCCUAAAAAGUGCUCAAAAAAGGAGCGAAGCAAUAGCCCCGGUUCGUAAUAAGAACCGGGACUAAUCCCCCUCCCCCUUGUUCCAAGCCCUGCCACGUGGAGGACCAUUAGCCCCGGUUCGGGGCCGAACGGGGCUAGCAUUAGUCCCGAUUGUUUAGUCCCGNNNNNNNNNNNNNNNNNNNNNNNNNNNNNNNNNNNNNNNNNNNNNNNNNNNNNNNNNNNNNNNNNNNNNNNNNNNNNNNNNNNNNNNNNNNNNNNNNNNNUAGGGCGAAUUCUCGCUUUUGGAUUCUUUUGUCAGGCCAUCUUUUAACUUUUUCUUUGAAUAGUUUGGCAUUUUCAUAAUCUUGGGUUCUCCAUUCAUCUAAUGAGCUAAUAUCAAAUAACCUCUUUUCGCUAGCAAGUUUGAAAUCAUAGUUGAGUUCUUUAAUUGCCCAAUAAGCUUUAUGUUCUAACUCAAGAGGUAAAUGACAUGAUUUUCCAUAAACCAUUUUAUAAGGAGACAUACCUAGAGGAUUUUUGUAACAUCCCAAAAUUAUAAAUUUUGGAAUGUUAAUAUAAUUAUUAGAUUGCUUGUUUGUUUGUUUGCUGAGUGACUGAAACUUGUGUGAAAUUUGAAACUUUUCGAAACUUUUGAAUGAGAGGGAAUAAAAUGACUUUACCCUUCUCCGGUGAAUUAAAAUUCAAACUUUUAAAAGCAAAGAGAGAAGAUGACAUGACUUAUUCAACUAUAAAUAAUUUGAACGGAGAUUGUUGCAUUUGAAUUCUCUUGCAUUUUUUUUGUUUUCUUCGUGCAAGAAAUGCCGGGAAAUACUUUGUGUCAAACAGAAACGAGAGGAGGAACAUGACCCUCCAAAGUAUGGGCAUUUCUGAAAUGUUGGAGCCAAGAAAAUCCAAGGAUCAUUUGCAAAAAUAAUUGCAAAAAGAAAUAAAGCAAAUUUGGGAAUUUCUGAAAAAAAACAUUUUUUUAAGUUUUUAUUUUUGCUUUGGAAAAAUGUUAUUCGGGUAGAGAAUAUUUUUCUGAUUUUUUUGGUAUAUAAUACCCUAUAUUAAAUAUUUUUAUUUAUUUCCUUUUAUUAGCUUUUUUUUAUGUUUCGGAAAAAGGUUUAGAAAAUAGGAAAGUUCUGUUUUU
Molecule: long non-coding RNA, 60825 nt
Filed under: Hordeum vulgare
Lineage: Eukaryota; Viridiplantae; Streptophyta; Magnoliopsida; Poales; Poaceae
Description: long non-coding RNA (HVUL_LNC007710)
Rfam family: MIR1120/MIR1122 microRNA precursor family (bases 10510-10634)
Source: RNAcentral